Molecule: long non-coding RNA, 65545 nt
Filed under: Malus domestica (apple)
Lineage: Eukaryota; Viridiplantae; Streptophyta; Magnoliopsida; Rosales; Rosaceae
Source: RNAcentral
UAGAAGCUAUUCUUUGUUUGCCUUUGUGAGCAGUGCACUUUUCACUCUCUACACACAAAAUGAACACUCAAAAUGCUCAGCAACAUUAAAAAACUUAAUAAGUUAUAUGUAUACAUUACUAUAUAUGUAUUUGGACAUAAAGUAUAAAAAUUUACUAUCAGAUUAACAAAAGAAGUAAUUAUGAAUUGGAAUUAAAUGAUAUUAUAGUUGUUAAAAAAAUACCUAACCAAUUUUUACACAUAGCAUCAUAAAUUGUUAAAAAAAAAUAACAGCACUGAAAUAUCUAAUUACUCAAAUCUAUAAUUCUAUUAAAACACAUCACUGAAAACCCCAAGGAGAGAGGUGCAUAUUCCUAACCUUGCACGGUUAAAAUUGCAUUUUGUUUGAGGGGAGAAAAAUGAUCAGAACUGAUAAGUCAAUAGUUAAAUAGGUUUACUCUGGUGUCAAAUGUUUUUUAAUACAUACAGAAUACUCUCUAUUUAAAUCAACAUUGAUUCUUGCAUACCUUCGGUUAUAUAAUGUUUGGAGUUGAAUGUAUAUAUACCCAGAUGGGAAUAAUUCUUUAUCCGAAACUUAGAACAAACCAACUCAUCCGAGUACGCAAUGGAACUUAGCUACAACUCCAAUAUAAUCAAUGUAAAUUAUUAUAUUGAAACAAUGUGAUCAAACUUAAACAAAACUCCAAAUCCACCAAAAGUUUAAAUUUCUUACCUUGAGUACAGAGGGCUUCAGAAAACAACAACAUUUUAGCCUGGAAAUAAAAUCCACAAAAUUAGAAAAAUGAAAUUUGCAUAGAAUUAACAGUUCUAAAAUGAUAGAUAACAAUAAUCUCACACUAUAUUAUACAAAAAUUUAACCACAAAAAUAGAAAAUGGACAGAUUCAUAUAGGAAAGCAGCAGCAGAGCAACUACUGGAUUCUCUCAAAGAUAAUAUUGUCAAAUUUGUAAGAUUAAGCAAGCAAGAGAGAGUACUGGCUUGCAAAGCGUAAGUUGUUAAUCGACACAUUAUUCUGUCCUAAGUUAAGCAACUGAAGGUUUGUUAAGGCACAUAACAUAAUCAAACCAAGCUUAAAUAUUUUUAAAUACAACAGAAGAAUUUAUUUUUUUUCAAAACCAAGAUAAAAAUCUGAAAAAAAACACAAAAUGCAAGGUAUUCUCUGAGGAAGGAAAGAGUUGCGAACUGCAGAAGACAACAGUUGAGAACGACAAACCACAAAUUCGCCAUAAACCGAAGCAGAGUUGUGAGAACAGACGAAAAUUAAUCAAUCAAUUUCAGAAAAAUAGAGGAAAAAUUAACAAACCUGAUCAAAUAGGAUCUGGAUAAAUCUUAGAACAUACCUGAGUUCAAUUCAACUUGUAUGACAACAGUCCCAACUGUGGGAUCGCCGAUGAUAACAGAGACCAACACCCUAAAGAACCGGAUUCAAUGAGAAGGAAUAGGAGGAAGAAGACACAACCCAAGUUUAAACAUCAUAGAAAAGAAACUAAUGUCAGUACCAUAGAGUUUGAUUUGGGGAUGUCUUUUCUUGUUAGACUAAACAUAUAAACCAAGAUCGUGUAACAUGAAUCACAGCCAUCCAAACACAAACUGUAGUUCAUAACUAUUGUACAGAGUAGAACUCUUACCUGCAGAUCCAGCUUUACACAAAAGCACAACCAUCCCAAAAACCAAAAAUAAGGAACGUAGGAUUUUAGAACCCUGUAAGAAAGGGAGAGUAAAGGAAAGUUUAAUGAUAUAAACAAACAAUAGAACAGAUCCCAUAAGUUCCCUAAAAUGAAUGCUACAAUAUGCACAAAAUGUAACUAUUAGUAAUAGUAACCAAUGUAAUCAAACAUAAAUAAAAUGGUAUCGUCAAUUUUGUUCUUUUUCAUAGAGCUCUGAGGUUGAGUCUUAUGAAAUGGCGAGUUUGAUACAAAUUAUAUUUCUGGCAAAUAUUCCUCUAAUCAGAUGCUCUACCCACUUGACUUCAUCUUCAAUAGCAUCAUUAAGAUCCAAUACAUUCUCAAACAGGGAUAUUGCCUUGGCAUUCUCUUCAUCCUGAAGAGUUUAAUCAUGAUCACAAUUCCGAACUCCAAGUCAAUCAAUUAUCUACAUCAAUGGACUAAUAAAGCAUCCAAUAACAAUAAAAAGUACCCACCUCAACUUUCUUGAAUAUAUCUUGGAAUCCCAACUCCCUAAGAACUUGCUCCCGAAGUCUGCAAAGAAGCUGGAUUUCCCCAACAAAGCAGGAAAAAAAAAGAAAUGUGAAUGCUAGGAAAACGAUGCCGCAAUAAAUCAUGACUACAACAUAAUAGAAAGUGAGAAAUCAACUCAAAUCAAAAUUUCGAGCUUACAAUGCAAUCCGGCGGGCCGCCGUGACUCUCAGGAUCCUUUUUCAAGUCCUCCAGUAUCUCAGUGUACCCUUCAGGCAAAAAUACAAAAAAUUGCAGGCAUUUCCGAAAACCCAAUUCACUCAUCGCAAAACAAUCAGUAAAGUGUGUAUCUUUGAGCAAAUUUCUUAGCUCUUGCCGGAGCGUCGGGAACCGAAGCGUCAGACUCAGCUCGUUUCCUGCCGAAACCAAUCAAACCCAUUAACGAAAAACCCAAGAAAUUAAGAUUUAUGAUGGAGGUUGGGGAAAGGAUGAGGAUUAUCACUUGAAGGAGGGGGUGGAAUUGUAGAAGAGGUCGAUCCAGGAGAGCUCAGUGGGAGUGGGCUUGCGGGGAUUGUUGGAAGGGAAUAUGUAGGGGAUGGUGCAGGCUCUGUAAUUGAAUUCGAUCGGCAUCGUCAGCAGUGGAAAUAAAGAGUGAAUUAGAAGAUUUAUCAGAGAGCUUACCUCUACAGUUAUUGCCGACUUGAACAAAUCAAGCUUCUGUAGCAGUCUACAGAUCACAAAGCUGAGAGAUGGUGAUUGAAACUUGACAGGGAUGUGGUUUAAGUUUUUCUGCGGUGAAGCGGUGAACGAUAGAAGAGAUGAAGGGCUGGUUUGGUAUUGCUGUGCUUUGAAAAAAAACUGUUGUGAGAAUAAGCGGCUAUGCUGUGAGAAUAAGCGACUGUGAAAUAAAUCAGCGGAGUGUUUGGUAAACUUUUUUGUAAAAGUGAUUUUGGAAAAAAAAAGCAGUCUGAUAGUGGAUCUUUUCAUUAAAGAAGCACUGUAGCUCCGUGUGCUUUGAAAAAAAAGCCAGUUUUCCAAAGCUGCAAAUAGCAGCUUCAGCUUUUUCCUUUGAUUUCAACUUAUUCUCAUAGCAGCUUCCAAAAUAAGUUAUUUUUUUUCAGUUUACCAAACACCUAAAACCCUCACAGUUUUUUUUCAUGGGUGCUAUUUUUUUUAAGCACCUCACUCCCAAACCACCCCGAAGAGGGAUGAAAGUUUGCCAUAUGGGGUGAGGAUGGAGGGGCGAAGAAUGAAGAAAGCGGUCGAGGAUCCCACGCGUCACAAAACUGUUACUCAUUUGACAGCAAAGCAAUAGGGGCAAAAUUGAAAUAACAAAAAAGAAGCAGGGAUGAAAAUGGAAGAACACUGUUAAUGAACAGUGUUUUUUGUGUUGGGUUUUAGUAUAUGUAUAAUAUCACUCUGUAAACAAACGGACUUGGCCAAGACCCUAGUAGCUUCACUUCUUCCAUUAUUCGUGUGAUCAGGUGAUCGAGGCAGGCCUAAUCAUACAUAUAUACUAAUUUAAAUUUGACUGGGUCUCUAAAUAAAUUGUAAGAAAAUGAAAUUGCAGAGUCACCCUAUUUGCAGAGUCGUUUUUUUUUAUUAAAUUUUAUUUAUUUAUAUAUAUAUAUAUAUUUUGUUUUUUUUGUUUUUUUGAAGAGCCGGUCUUUCUUGUUUUAGGGUAGCAAAAUUAUAAAAAUUUGCCCAGUAUCUGUGGUUUGCAGAUAAUAUCACUGUUCUUUCGCGUCUAAUAAAGUGAUUAAUUACUCAUUCUAAAAUUUUACUAGGAGAAGCAAUUUUUGCACUCUGUUCUACUAUUUUGUACACUCAUAUUUGUUUAGAUUGUUUGAACAUUUUGUUUAUAUAUGCAAGAAAAGGUCGAAAACGAAUAGGGUGUACAAGAAGAGUGAAAAUAUGAGAAAAUCACUUGUAUUUUCUCAAAUGACAGAGGAGAAGGUGCAUGAUUUGUUUUCUAGUUCUUGGCGUGAGAAAACAAUGGGCUUGUUUACCCAAAAAUACAAAAGGGCUGCCGUUUCAAACUCACCUAAUUUCUUUGAAAAGAUGUGAUUAUUCCCAACUCUAAUCUUGACCUAUAGUCAUGGACUAGCAACGGUGCCCGUGCGAUGCUGCGGGUUUAAAAUUGUAGAUGUUCAAAUCUAUUUACAACUGUUACCAAUUUGAAUGAGAUGUACAAAGAAUUUGUGCAAGCUGGACACAUGGAAUAUCAAUAGUGACAUAAUUUUUUCUUAAGACAUUGGAAAAACUAAGUUAAAACUUGUAAUCACACGACUCUUCAAUCACAUGACACAAAACACAACUACUGUUCACAAACAUGUAUUAGCCAAGAAUGGAAAAUCACCAACGAUGAAAUGUGGUAACAAAUCAAUAACCUCACUUAUAUAGCUUUAGGAUUAACUAUGCUAAUUUGUUUAUGUAAGUGAUCUGUCUGCCCACAUUUUCCUUUUUUUUAGCAGACAAUAGACAUAUUUUGUUUUUUUAAAAUGUGCGAUGACAUAUAAUACUAUAACAGAAUGAUGAAACAAAACAGGUUAAUUUUUUAGCACAACAUGGGUUAAAAUUACCUACAUUUUACAUAUGCAGAUUAAGGGAAGUGGUGGCAAACCUUGUAAUUUGUGCAAGUUGAUCAUCUGCAAUAUCAACAGUGACAUAAUUUGUUGUUAAGGCACUGGAAAAAUUAUAUUAGAACCUGUAAUUACAUGACACUCGAAUCACAUGAUAGAAAACCACAGAGAAUAGAAAUUGAAAAAAAAGAAGUUGAUAGAAAUUGAAAAAAAAAAAGAAGUUGAACACAUUAAGUCUUCACAAAACUCCCAAGAAUGAAAAAUAAGCAAAAAUACAGAUUACCAAUGAAGAAAUGAGGAAACCUAUCAGCAACCUAAAUUGUACGCUCAUUUUAAAUAAGUAUGAUAGAGAGUUAACAUUAUAAUCAAAUUUGAUGAGCCCAACUGGAGAAAAUUGAAUACUAACAUUCAAAGUGGAUUAAAAAGAUGAGAAUAUGCUUUAAAUAAGUAUUAAGUCUGUAUUUAUGUGUAGUACAAUUGUGUGGGAUUAGAAAUUGAAUAUACUAUCUUAUAACUGAAUGAUCAUGCAAGGAAAAUUACCGUGAGAUUGUAAGGAGCAUGGAAAAGUAAUCUAAACAAUUAACAUUACUGAUUAGUAGUUAACUUCUUAGCAUUUUCAUUGUAAAAAUUAAAUAUAAGGGUGUAAAAAGAUGGAUCAGAUUUAGUUGGUUUGGUAAUUUUCCAAGUUAUUUCAGUCUUCAUCAUUUGGAGGAAUAACAUCACUUCCAUCUUUCAACUGUUACUAAUUUAUACACAGACUUUAUUCUUUUGACCUAUUCUAAAUGCAUGAUUAAUCACUUGACUAUACACUGAGUGGUUUAAGAUGGACAUCCAAAAGUAUAAACAGAGAUGCUACCACCAAAGAUGCACCCUCUCCACAUGCUUUAGCCAAAUAACACGUUAGGAGUGGGGGUACCAUUAAAUCUAAUUAAUGAGUGAUGGGAAUGGUUUAUGAAUAGAUUUAACAAUUCCACCAUUACUAAGGUGUUCUUUGGCUUAAUUAAAGCUUGUGGAGAGGGUAUAUCUCUGGUGGGGACAUCUAUAGUCAUACUUUUGGAUGUCCAACUUAACCCCUUAGUGUGCAGGCAAGCAAUUAGCCAUGUAUUGAGACCAGGUGAAAAUAGGAUAGUAUGUAUGUGUGUGUGUGUGUACAUAUAUUGGUAGUAGUUAACUCCCCCAAAGAGAAACAAUAGCAAAGAUUGAAUUUAAAUGCAAAAUGCCAACGAAAGAAAACCAAGAAAAUCUAAAUAAUUUCACAUACCAUUGGAUCCUUGCGAAACCUAUUUGUUGAAGCUACAACUUGGUUGUUGACUUUGUGAUUUCUUCUCUCUUUUUUUAGUGUGUAAUUGUUAGACAAAGCUUGUAACAUCUUAUUUCAUACCUAGACACCAAUCAUGUAAACUUCAUUCAUUAGAAUAUGUCUGAUCUUUCUGAAAUUCCAUGAAUUGUAAUUUUUUACCAAAAAAAUUGACAAAGGUCAAUAUCACACUCUCAACCAAACAUUAAAAAAGUGGAGGGACAAAACAAACAGGUUUUAGUCCUCACUAUAGUUAAAAUAGUUAUGUUAUUUGACAAUUAAAUAGCAGUGAUAGGUAUCAUCUGGAUUAAGAAAAUUAGUCAUUGAAGAAUCUCCAAGAAAUUAUCAAAGUGGAUUCAAGUUUAUAAAAUUUUUAUUGAAAUAAACUAAAAAAAGUAAUAGAAAUCAAGCUAACCUGUGUUUGGUAUAUGGAAGAUACUGGAUCUCCUUUUGGCCUUUGUAAAUGGCAUGUUGUUCAUUGUGUACAAAGCUAAAAAAACACAGUAAAAAUGUUAAUCUAGGCCAGAAAAAGUAUAUAUAGAGUGUAUUAUGUAAAUAUUUUCAUAUAAAGUAAGAAUAUUUAAAACAAUUAAUUGCAAAAAAAAAUAAAAUUUCAAAGAUAAGUCAGAGAAAUCUUUGAAGCAGAGAAAUAUAACAAAAGUUUUCCAAUUGUAGCCAUGCAUAAACCACUAAAAAAAGCCAAGUAUAUUGACAUAGCUGGAAUGCUAACCAGAAGACAUUAGGUUACGUGGAUAAAAAUGGAUUCAAAUAGAAUUGAAAAAGGGUAGGAACAAAUUUUUCGGAUUGAAAUUGACACAUGUAUAGCAAAGAACAUUAAGUUUUAACUUUUAAGCAUAUCAACUCAUGAAGCAUCCCAACAUAUAUAUGGAAAAAGAAUGAUACAAAUACCAGCAUACACAUGUAAAAGCAAUUAUUAACACAACUAACAAACAUUUGUAAAUUAAAAAUUUUGCACUAUUUAACAGCCCGACUCACCUUUCCCCUUUUUUUUCUCAAUUUGACCAAGAGCACUUUGCAGCUCAUAUACAGUGCUUCCAUACCAAUCUGCAGCAAAAAGUGAAAUUACAAAUUAAACACACACAAAACAGUAAAAGUAAAGUAUUUUUCUUUCCAUUCAAAGCAAUGCAUAACUGAAAAAAGCAUAAUUGUAAAAAAGAUUAAACUUUUUUUUUCAAAGCAUAUAUCGUCUAAAACCCAACGUUUAUAAACAGUCGCAUUUUUUGUCAAAAUUGUAUUUGCUUUACCUCCAUAAGUUUGAUUUCUUUUCAGUGUUUUUUAGAGCUUGACGAAACCAUGAAGAGACAAACAACAGCACUCAACUGUUUUUGCAACCUUGUAACCAGUUACACAAAUAAGAAUGCAACAUUUCUAUUAAAGCAUGUAAUUCUCCUCUUCCUAUAUUCUUCCCCUUUCUCUAGCUAAAUAAAAAUUUCCAAAACUAUGUACCAAAAGCUCAAAAGUGGGAUUCAAAGAGUCAAAAUGUUCAAAUGCUAUAUUUUUAUUAGGACUUCAUAGUCUAUUUAACACUUGGUUUCUCGAGUAGUAAGUUUCCCAUUCUUUGUCUAGUUAAUUUCACACGCCUACAACAAAUAAAAUAGUUGAAUAAUUUCAGUAUUUUUAUGUGCCUACUAAAGUACACAUAUGAAUAUCAAAACAAAAACCUCCAAUUAUCAUAGCAUUCCCUUUCUAUCUUUAUUUUUGAAAAAGAAAACACAAAUGGAAGAAAAAAUUCCACAAUUUGAACUUGUAACUCGUAACCACAGAGAGUCAAUAGCACUUCAAUUAUGUAAGAAGGGAAAGGGGGUGCAAAUAAGUGAUGCUCAAUUGAAAUCACUGCCUAGUUGUCAACUCUUUACUGAGUUUAUCCCAAUCAGCAACACUUUAACACAUCACCUUCCAAAAACUCUGCAUGUAUACCACGGAAUGAAAACACUUUAUACUCCAACCAACUUAACCCAUAUAACAUAUGAAGUCAUCCAACAGUUGCAGGGGGGGAAUGAAAACUGUAUCUAAUGGCACAACAACAUAAAGUUAUUUGUGGCAAAUCUUACAAUCAUAUGCGUCUCGAACCAUUUGAUAUCUGACGAAUCCUGAAAAAAAGAGUCAGCCGAAAUCAUGAAACCAAAAAAUCAGAAUGUUUACAAAGUAUUCCUUGAAGCAAAAGCAUGCGCGGGACAUUCACUUAAAAAAAUGAAAAGCUUUCAGUACCCAAAUAGCUAAAAGCCGAGAACAAAAAAAAAACAGUACCUUUGCGGGUUUGGAGCUCUUUUCUUAUAAAUAUUAUAGUAUUGGUGUGGCGCCUCAAUUCGUGGUGUUUCCGUCGAUAACAAUCGAAGGUGGGGCAGCUGGUUUGGGUGAAGAAGAAGAGGAGGAUCCAAGCCUACAAACAGAAUCACAAAAAACAAACAUAAACACAAAACCCAUCUGCACACGAUCGGAUCGGAAUCGAAAGAAAGAGAUAGAGAGAUCUAAACAAAGGGAAACACAGACGGAGAGAGAGGAGAAAAGAAGAGGAAAGGGAAAUGCCCAGAUCAGAAAACUACCACAAAGAAAAAAAAGGCGGAAGCUGAGUAGAAUACUCUCGAAGCGAAUAGAUCAACGAUGAAAGACGCGUGGCCAACAUGGGUAAAAGAGACUUUCCACUGCACAAAAAAGGAAUCAAUGCUUUGAGCCAUGAAAAAACAGAGGGCAUUUCCAACCAAACACUGUUCACGAACAGUGAAAAACAGUACCGGGGAAACCGAGUUUUAGUAUAGAUAAAAUAUCAGUAUGUCAUCACUGUGGAGAAUUUUCCUACUUGUGGGUACUGACUUUUUGACUUGUUGUUUGUAUGUGUCACCAUCAUGGAACACACUGGCAGAGCAAGUUAAGGGCUGCCCUCAACUGUAGCCCAGGUAGUUUGCAGUGAAAAAUAAAAUUUUACAUGUAAUUUUGAUUGAUUUUCGAAUGUAACCUAACAAAUAUUUAGUUACUACUUCAAAUUUUCUAGGUUUAACUAUAUAAAAUUAUAUAAUACAGUUUGAAAUAAUCUCUUUUUCUUACAUUAUUUUUCUCAUCGUUUCUUGUAAAUGUACAAGUCUGGAUUUGUUUAAUUUAACACGUAUUUGUUUAAUUACAAAAUUUUUUGACUCACCUUGUGAAUUUUUUUAAGCUAGUUGAUACUAUGAAAAAUACGAUAUCAAGUUUCUUUAUUUAUAAAAAUUAAAAAUUUUAAGCUAGCCCACCCAGUAAAAAAUUUCUAACCCCACUAUUAGAACAAUAUAAAAAGUCCGAAAAGAAAAUAUUUUUAUCUCAAAGAAAAAUGUUGAAAUAGGAUAAGUGACCACACUAUUUAGUUACGCGUACAGACUGAUGAGGUAUGGCAAAUGCAAACAGGUAGCCGAGGUCUUGAAAACUCAAGAUAUGAAGGUCGUCCCUACUAAAAGAAUUGUGCUCAAUUGUUGAGCUUCUUUUCAUUUUCUGUUUAUAUAGAACUUUACAAGUAUAGUUAAUUAGAACUUUACAGGUAUAGUGAAUAUUUCACAUGGAUACACUGCAUCAAUGUUUCUGCAUCUGAGUAUGGGCAGCAUUUGUUUAAUGCAUGCGUGGGCAGCAUUUGUUUAAUGCAUCUGCAUCUGAGUAUGGGCAGCAUUUGUUUAAUGCAUGCGUGGGCAGCAUUUGUUUAAUGCAUGCGUUGAGUGUAUUGCAGAGUCAUUCACAUGGGCAGCAUUUGUUUAAUGCAUGCGUUGAGUGUAUUGCAGAGUCAUUCAGCCCAAUAGGUUUGUGGCAUGGAUGCAUGAGCAAGAAGAGUGAGACCAGUUUCAACCAAAUGACGAUGUUUUCGUUCUGCCAUACCGUUUUGUUCAGGAUGGUGAGGGCAUGUAUAUUGAUGAUGAAUGCCAUGUUUUUCCAAAUAAGAUUUGAAAGUUUUGUUAAUAUAUUCUCCUCCACCAUCCGUUUGAAAAGUUUGGAUUUUUGUUUGAAAUUUAUUCUCCAUUUCAGUUUGAAAUUUAAUAAAUGUUGAGAACACAUCAGAUUUUAGUUUUAAUGGAUAAAGCCAUGUAUAUCGUGAAUAAUCAUCAAUGAAAAUCACAUAAUAGCGAAAACCAGAAAUUGACAAAGUAGGGGACAUCCAUACAUCAGAAUGAAUAAGUUGUAAAGGAAAAUGAGAAAUAGAAUUUGAUGGGGAAAAUGGCAAUUUCUUGCUUUUGCCCAGAGGGCAUGAAUGACAGACAGAAUUAAAAUGGUGCCUAGUAAGAGGCACUUUGCUAGAGGAAGCUAAAUGCUUUAAAAUAAAUAACGAAGGAUGACCGAGUCUAGAGUGCCAAAUACGAUCAUCAACCUUGACUCCCAUGCACGAAAACAGUCCAUGUCUUUUAAUGGAAUUAAAACUUGAAUAAGGAUAAACACCAGUGUUACUCCGGCCUGAUAAAAGGAUCCUCCCCGAGCGGAUAUCCUGAACACGGAAGAAAUUAGGAUGAAGGACAAAGAAACAGUCAUUGUCAGAAGAGAAUUGAUUGAUAGAUAAUAUAUUUUGAGAGGCAUCAGGGCAAUAUAAAGUAUUUUUAAGAGUAUAGGAGCUAGUAGGAGAGUAAAUAAAAGAGGUGCCUAUGUGGGAAAUGUGCAAACCUUGAGCACCAUUAACACCACCGACUUGAUCUAUGCCUGUGUACUCCUGUGCAUUUGUAAGUUGUCCAGGAUCAUUAGUAAUAUGUGUGUUCGCUCCAGAGUCCAGAAGCCAUGUUGUGAGAGCAUGAGAUGCAGACUGGGGUACACGGGUUGACUGUGCAGCAAGAGCUGUGAGACGAGCACUUGGAACACGACCUUCAUAAGAAGUAUUCAUACGGUUGUAACAGUCAAUGGCAGAGUGACCAUUACGACGACAAAUCUGACAGCGAAGUGGUGGACGAUCAGACGAAGAGGGACCUGCACCAAGGAUACCGCCAUGGGGACGUCCUGGAUUAGGAGCAGCAGCAACAUGUGGGCGAGCCUGAUUGCCACUACGAGGAUGGACAGCACCACGGCCUCCACCAAGGGCAAAGCCUGCAUGAGCAGUCUGCCGACGUCCACGAUUAGCAACAUGGCAGUCAAGACAGGAGUGUCUCCAGACAAAUUGAAGGUAAGGUGACGAGCUUCAGCACUGAGCAGCAGUGCUUCCAAAGCAGCAUACGAAAUAGGAUUUUCUCGGGCUUGAAUGGAGGCGACUGUGUUCUCAUACAGUGGUCCAACAUUAUUCAUGAUCGUGGCAAUUAAGUCCGAGUCAGCAAUGGGAGAACCAGAUAAGGCUAACUGAUCAGCCAAGGUGUUGAGUUUGUCCAAAUAAUCGGCAAUACUGAGAUCACCACGCCGGAGAUUGAGAAGUUCCCCGCGGAGUUGAAUAACACGAUUGUGGGAGGAAGGUGCAUAUCGGUCCUGUAAAGCCUUCCAGGCCUCGGCAGCACUAACACAUUUGACGACAACAUGCAUAACAGGAGGAGAGAGAGAACUAGUCAGCCAUGAUAGAACCAUCUGGUCAGUUUGGAUCCAAGGUUCGAAGAGAGGAUUGAUGGUGUCAGUGAGUUGACCAUCAUCAUUCAGUUGAUGAGCAGAAGGGCACUGAGAAGUGCCAUCAACAUAUGGCAUCAAACUGCGACUGCGAAGAAGGGGAACAAACUAGGCACGCCACAAGGGAUAAUUAUGGCGAUCAAGUUUUAGAGGAAGAAAUGCAGAAACAUUAGUGAGGGCAGCGGAAGAAGACAUUGUAUUUGGAAGAGAAAUAUGUCGUAAGAAUUGAAAAAGGGAUGAUACCAUAAAGAAUUGUGCUCAAUUGUUGAGCUUCUUUUCAUUUUCUGUUUAUAUAGAACUUUACAAGUAUAGUUAAUUAGAACUUUACAGGUAUAGUGAAUAUUUCACAUGGAUACACUGCAUCAAUGUUUUUGCAUCUGAGUAUGGGCAGCAUUUGUUUAAUGCAUGCUUGGGCAGCAUUUGUUUAAUGCAUGCGUUGAGUGUAUUGCAGAGUCAUUCACAUGGGCAGCAUUUGUUUAAUGCAUGCGUUGUAUGUAUUGCAGAGUCAUGCAGAGUCAUUCACAACACUUGGUUUAUCACCUACAACUUCAAAUUAAAAUUAAUCCUUAGAAACUCGCAUGCUAAAGAUGAAGAUGCAAGUCAAGAUAAAUUUGUUAUUAGUUAGUUUAAUCAGCAUAGUUAAGUUUGUUAUACUUGUUUGUGAUUAGACAAGUUUGUUGUAGUUUCCUUUGUACAUAGCUAAGUGAUAUAUAUACAGUGGAACUAUGAUUGUUUAGGGCCGGAGUAAGGCUAAUCCGAAUAUCAAUACCUCACAAGUCCGAUCAUGAACUUGACAACUUCGAGCAGAGCUAGAUCAAACAUAGCAUGCCACCAUCAUCCAGUUCCAGGGCAAUAGGUGAAGUCCGAGCAACUCAGUUGGUAUGAUUAUGCUUGUUCCACAAGGCACAAGAUUUGAUUCGGAUAUUGACACAAUCAGAUUCCUCAUAAAUCUUUGAGUUCCUACAAUCUAGGAAUUGGCGUGCGCCGCAAGUAAUUACUACUCCUAAGAGGGCGCAAUAUCUACUUCUAGAUAUCUCUUGGGAUUCUUCCAGUUUAGAACAAGAAUUCUAAUCUAAAAAGCUCUCCUCACAGUAUAAAUACACCCAUCUAGUGCUCGUCUUUGGUAACACAAUCUUAGUACUCUAUUCUCUUGCCCACUGUUUGAGCCUAAAAUUGCUUACUAACUUGACUGUUGGACAGCCUUGGCCGACAUACCCCACCCUGGUCCUAGGCUUGCUCACGGUUGUUCUCAAUUUUGCAGAUUGCUCGAAUUUGUGUCUCCAUUAUUUGGAACAAUCUGCAUAUAUAUUUUUUCCAACAACUAGCGCUUUUAUUGAGAAUGAAUUCAUAUUCCUCUCGACAAAAUCACUCUACCCCAAUGGAGAUUCCCCCCAAAUCAUAUCGCGAUGAACUACAUGCUCUAACGCACAACAUUAACCCCGAGAUCGACGGAGUUACCACCAUGUACGAGAUAUAGAAAUAUGUGAUGCAUAUUUAUCUAUCCUUGGAGGACCUUCGACGGAGCCCCUCUCGCCAAAGAACCUAUAAGACUCAUCGAUUUGAAGGCGCGAAUUAAAGACCUGGAAGAGGCCAUCUCGCGCUUUAAAGAAGUGUCAGUCCAGACAAUGGAAAUCGUUGAUCUGACUCUCGAGGCGUCACCCCAACGUCCUUCACCGAAGACGUACCAUAAAAAAUCUAGGAGGCUACAAUGCCUACAUCCCAUCCAACGAUUGGACAAAGAACCAUUCCCUAGAGUGAAUUACAUAUACAGCGAGCAAGAAUGUCUGGAAACACUAGGAAAGAAAGCAGCAUUUGACAAAUUUCUUGUCUAAUAUGAUUUUACGGUAAAGAGACAUGUAAUGCGGCCUAUAGAUAUUGCAAAAUUUCUGAAAAAAAAAUAUUGAGUACAUAAAAGUGUGAAAUUUUUAAAGAUUCAAAAAUUCAAAAAAUUAAGUUAUGAUAUAGCAACUCUGUUGAUUUUUGUAUUUCUAUAUGGUUUUGUAUGUGUUAUUUCUAGAAAAAUGAAGAACAGAAGAAAACAAUGAAAAUUUGAAAAUGGAGAGUAUGGUGCUCUCUUGUAUUUCUCGGUGGAUUCGAUUACAGAAGCAUUCAUUCACACACACAUACAUAAGCUAUGAUGAGGUGAAUAGGGACAAAAAUAACCGUUCGAGUGUGCACGCUUUGCUCGUGUAAGCAAGCUCACGUGUACUACACGGGAUCAAUUUAAAACACCACUAAUCGGGACAGGUGGCACACUCUGCACCAUUUAGAUGUUUUAAUCAUAACCGUUUAUUACACUAGGAUUAUAAACUCCAACAUUCAAAUUAAAACUCAGCCAUAUCAAUUUGAACUGCACUAUGUUGCAAUCCAGCAACCUUGAUUCACAGCAACAUCCUUAUACUGCAACAAGAUCUGUCCAAUUUUGACAAAAAAAAUGACAAUUUCAUCGACUGUCAUUGGAAAAUCUGUUUUACUUAUUAAAUAUGGAUACGAGAAAGACAAUAAAUUAUUCUAGUUCCUAACAACUUUCUCGACUAUAUUAACACAUAAAAAUGAAAUAUUAUGUAUUAAAACUUGUAAUCGGGUAAUACAUUCAAAACUAGAACUAAGAGAAACUAAAAGAGAGAGAGUAUCUACAUGAUAGUUUCUCGUUAUUAUUAUUAUUAUUAUUAUUAUUAUAGUCAUGAGGCUACUUGUACACAAACUGAAUCCACAGAAUAUCUCAGGCUUGAGGGACAAGCAUUUCCCUAACGCGUUUCAUAUGGGCAACCAAUUUUUGGUAGUCAGGAAGGUUGUCUCUGAUGACAGGAACUUGCUUGAAAUUCUGAACCCAUGCAUGCAAUCGAGGCAAAGUGCUUGGCUCAAGCAAUUUGACACCCACCAUUUCUUCAAUGGCUUCGAACCAAAGAGCCAGCCAUCCAUGCGUUAUGUCUACCAACUUUGUACCAUCACCCCCAAAAAACUUCUUGUCUCCAAGCCCUUGCUCUUCUAAUAUUUCAGCGUUUCCAACACUGAUUCGAUUGUCUUUUGUCCAUCUUCUCCGGCAGUUAAUCCGAAAAAUGCAUGAAAACUGAUAUGAUUAAGCACUUAUGUUUUAUAGCGAAACAUAAAUUCGUGCGCAUGCUAAUCAUAGCUAUUUGGCGUCAAUCUGCCCUCCUGCUAGAGGGCAUGAUGGCAAGCUAGGUAGGAAAAAUCCCCAAUUUGAUCAUCACAAUGAUUUGUCUUGUUCUUAACAAACUAAAAAUUAAACUAGUGAGAAAAAUUGAACCCAUAUGAGCAGCAUAAAAAGGUCGUACCCAGUGCAUAAGGCUCCCGCUUUACGCAGCAUAUUUCUGUAAAUUAUUGGAAGUCUCUCAAUGUAUAGUUGAACUAGAUAAUUAAGAGAAAAGCAGGUGACAUAAUUGAAACUUGAAAUUAUUUACGUGAGAUACAUAGAAUUGUAUCCAAAACCGAGCCAAGUCUCUUCCAUAAGUAUCUUCAGGCAGUAGAUGAUAUUCUGGCCAAGUUUCUUCAAUGUAUUCAAGGAUGACAACUGGCUUGGAAAUCGGUUUUUCCCGGUGAAGAAGCACCGGAACCUUCUUGUAAACUGGAUUGCACUGCAACAGAAGGUCACUUUUGUUGGAAAGGUCCUGUUCUAUGUACUCAUAUUCACAACCUUGAACUAUAGAGCUCAUAUAACUCUGUAAACAAACGGACUUGGCCAAAACCCAAGUAGCUUCACUUCUUCCAUUAUUCGUGUGAUCAGGUGAUCGAGGCACGGCCUGAUCAUACAUAAAUACUAAUUUAAAUUUGACUGGGUCUCUAAAUAAAUGGUAAGAAAAUGAAAUUGAAAGGUCCUCUUCGGAAAAUGAAAGAAAGUGACAGGUCUUCCUUUCUUUUUUUUUUUUAAGUUAUAUUAUUAUUUUUUUAAGGGUAUGUCUUUCUUUCUCGGAACUCUAUUUUACUAUUUUGUACACACUCAUAUUUGUUGAAGAUUGCUUGAAUAUUUUUUUUUAUAUAUGCAAGAAAAGGUCGAAAACGAAUAGGGUGUACAAGACGAGUAAAAACAUGAGAAAAUCACUUGUAUUUUCUCAAAUGACAGAGGAGAAGAUGCAUGAUUUGUUUUCCAUUUCUUGGCCUGCCGUUUCAAACUUACACAUUUUCUCUGAAAAGAUGUGAUUAUUUCUACGCUAGCUACUCUUGACCUCUAGUCAUAGACACCUGUAUUUAAUCGCCAUGCAGAAUUUUCACACUUGUGGGUACUGACUUUUUGACUAUUUGUUUAUAUGUCACCACCGUGUGGAACAGUACAAAAAUUAAUCUGAGAACAACGUUAUUUUAUCUUGCAGAAAAAUGUUGAAAUAGGAUAAAUGACCACAGUAUUUACUUUUCGCUUUAAUUUAAUCAUUUUUCAGCAAAAAAAAAAAAAAAAAAGAAAGGGAAAAGACCACACUAUUUAUUAGGCCUGGGCAAGAACACCGACGACCGAAACCGAACAAGAAAAAAAUUGGUCGGUUAAAUUUGUUCAGGUGUUUAUUUGGUUCUGAACAAAACCGAACCGAUUUGAAGCAUUUCGGCUCGGUACCGGUUAUCUAUAUGCACCGGACCGAUUUCUUUUUAAACUGGUUUGGCCACGUGGCUGGGUUUAAUUGGUGGUAGCCAAGUCCAUAAAUGGACUCCACCACUCCAAUCGUAAUGGUGAAUCAAUCACCUGUAUUAUUUGCCUUUUUUUAAAAAAGGAUUUUGAUUUUUAUUAAUUAGAAUUUGGGGGUUUUGAAUUUCAUAUAGUAAUUGUUUUUCUAUUGGUUUUGUGAGCACUAAGCUGCGAGCGCUCGUGUGUGUGUAUUAUUUGGGUUAAUAUUUGAACAUUGGGUUGCAAAUGUAAUGUGUGGAAGCCCAGAGAUACUAACUAAAGGGAGACUUGCCCGAAGCCCAAGCAUCAAGCCUAGAGACAAAUUGUCGCCUUCCUAUUAAUGCAUAGGCCAUGUGCCUAUGAUUUAAAUGUCAAGUGAUGGGGACUAACUCAUAAUCAGCCAAAAAGCACUUUUCGAUGGCAAUACAAGAAAAAAGCUGAUGACUCACUACCCUCCAAGUGCUUUUGAGCAAGAGCAAAGUCAUUGCAGUCGGGCUAAUUUGCCUAUAAACGGAGGAAGAGGCCCCAGACACAAAGACUCUCAACCAAUCAAACAAACAAAGAUACAAACUCUGCUCUCAAGCCAAAUUUGCAUCUAAAAGCUGUAAUUAGCCCCGAUCUCAGUCAUUUUCAGGAUAUCUCCCUCACAAAGCUAUCUUUUGUCUUGAUUAGAAGCUCUGAUAUCACCCCUAGUGUCGUAGUAUCGAUUCCCUUGUGUAAAUUGGUUUACCAUCCAUCCUUUUCUAGCAUAGAAACCACUAUAAACUCAAAGAGAAGUGACUACAAGAGGUUCAACCUUGCUAGACAAGGUGCAAUCUUGCCCGAAGCUCUUUGUUUGCUUUCUGAAUUUGUAGAUCUAUUCCUUAAUGCAUUCUCCAGUAUGUAUUCAAGUCAUAUCUGUCUGUUUUCCUUCUUUAAAAGUCUUAUUUGUAUCUGGAUCUAGUCAAUUUAAUAGAUAUGCUUUCAUUUAAAACCAAUUAAGCCAAACAAAUGACUUAAGGGAUCUGGACUCUCUUUAUUCGAAUAUACAAGACUAUGAACUGAAAGUCCUUAGUCACAAGGCAAGAUAAAGAACUUAAUGUGGACUUAACCCAUCCACGACAAUCAUUUGAUAACAAGAAGUCCGAGUAACUUAGGGAGCAAGUAAUCGACUAAACACAAUCUUGUUCUACAUUUGCUAUACUGAGAUAGCAGUGGCACACCUAGCACUUAGUUAGUUUUGAUUGCGAGCCUCAAGGCCUACACCUAAGGCCCUACAAAGACACCUUUCAAAACUAACUCUGUCAUCUUCUUGCAACACAUCAGCAGGCAAGAGCCCGACUACACAUCCAAAGUGCCAAUUCCUUGGGGAAGUGUGCUAAGAGCAGGGAGCCCUAUCCAGAGAAAUCUUCGUCCGAACAUGUACAAUAUGUUAGAUUUGAUCUUCAGAAAGAAUGGGACAAACUGGGGUUGGGAAUAAGGUAGAAAGGGAAACAUAAUUUGAACUUCGAUUUUCAUACUUGUGUAAGAUGAACUAAGAGACAUAAAAAACAAGAUUAGUCUCUUCCCAUGAACCAAAUUGAAUCAAGUGAUUAAAUCACAACAUUAGCAAAGAUAUAAAAACUGAGUGUUGACAAUGCAUGGAAAAAUACUAACCUGCAAACAUGUUGCUAGAUGAAGAGGCCAUCGCAGCACUUACACAACCCUUCUCCUUUCUACAAAUCUCAAUGCUCUUCCAAGAAUAGGUUAUUGGUACAAAACAAGAGCAUUAUUUGUAAGAGUAGUGGCUUAUGUAUUUAUACUAAGAACAUCGAUUGCCCUAUUACAAUCCUACAAGGAAUACAAGACUACAUGCCUUAUACCAAUAUGAGUCCUAUAACCAAGCAUACACAAGAGUCCUCAACAAACCAGAAAUUGGAUUAACUCUUGUCAACAUGAAUUAGACUUCUUUAUAAUAUCGAUUAUCCCAAAACUUGUAAGAAUCAUACUCAUACUCUUACAUUCUCCCACUUGAGUAUGAUCAAAACAGAUAAUCAUCUCAAAUCAUUAUAAAGGUGAUCACACAAGUCAUUUUUCAACACACUAGUAAAUAGACACAACCAGCUUAUACAAACCAAAACAAUGAACUUAUAAUUUCCUUUGCAAUACAAAAUGUAGAUUUAACUCAUAAAUCACAAUGUCCAAUUCAUGUUCAUAGCAAUGUAUCUAAGCUCAAGAGUAAACUGUAACAUCUACUUUCAUUCAUAUGGCCCAAAAUUGAUAUAAAAAAUACCAAACAAUCUUGACAGUAAACUGUUAACUCAAAAUCAUUCAUAAUGAAAUAAACAGCACAGUUAUGAUCUAAUCAACAGCUUUAUCAUGACUAAAAAAGAUUCUCAAGCUUUUAUUGAUCUAAAAAUUGUUCUCUAGAACAAUUAAUCAUAGAUACGUCUAGAAAAAUUGCAAUGAACAUAACCAUAACUAACUGCAAAACAAAAACAAACUAGCUAAAUAAGCUGAAAUACUUAGCUUUCAGAAAACUUUUGCAGAAAACCUCUUUUUGAAAAGUAUUCCACUGUUAUCUUCCAGUAGCUCUAACAUAUGGUUGAAUACAGCAACAAUCACUCCCACUUUUCAAAAGCUUCUAAUACUCCUAUCCGAGUUACAUGAGUCUUGAAAAUUCCAUUCGGCAAUGCUUUUGUUAAAUGAUCGACAAUCAUCAAAUCAGUAGUCAAAUACUCCACUAUAAUUGCACCUUGCCUAACAUUCUCUCUAACUUUUAAGAAUUUCACAUCCAUCAAUCUCGAAGUUGAAGUCCUUUUGUUGUUCUUUGAGAAAAACACUGUAGAAUUGUUGUCACAAAACAUCUUAACUGGUCUCUGGAUUGAGUCUACAAUCUUCAACUCACUGAUAAAAUUCUUAAGCCAGACUGUCUGCUUUAUGCCUUCCAAGCAUGCCACGAACUCUGACUAAGCGAAUGUUGCACCAGUAGACCAGAUCGAGAUCAAAACCCAUACCCACUUCUUCUGGAUUGGAUCAAACAAGAGCAUCUAAGGCAGAAAUAGUAUUUAGAUGAUAUGGACCCCGGUGAGAACCUCCAAUUUCUUAGGGGUCGCACUUUUUCCCUCUUGGAAACUUCUAGUUCUUCCUAUUUGAUCCAAAAUCGAUCGAUCUAGCCAUUUAAAACUGGAGUAAUGUGGAAUGCCUUUUCCCACCAAUAGGGAUCUGGGCAAGUGAGAUUAGUCCCAUUCCUUUGGUCUUUGUCCACCUUGUCUUGUGAAAGCAAGACAACUCAAAAUGAAAAAAUAGCCCUUUUUCGCGAAUCGAAUCUUGUUAAGCGUUAGAUAAAUUCCGGUCUUAGGUUGAUUUCCCUUAUGCAUCCAGCUGCUUCACUAAUGUGAAUAGGUUAUACAGAGGGGUGGGUUGGUUAUAUAUACUCUUAUGCGCGUUCCUUCUUCGAACCUUUUGGCGCCGAAGAACAAAUAGAAUUUGCUACAAAAGCCUGCUAACGGGGGUAUUCCUACUUAGUCUUCUUUGGAUUCAGUCUCGUUCGAUUGUUAAUUAGUCCAGUAGAGGUAGAGAUCAUAGUUUGCUUGGCACUUCUCCACGAAAUGGCACCUCCAUUAAACAUGAAAACAUAGCCAACAAUUGAUUUUCUUUCGUCCAGAUCACCAGCUACAUCAGAAUUUGUAUAACUAACUACUUCCAGUCCAUUUUCUCUACCAUAAACUAACAUGAAGCUCUUUGUUCUUUGCAAAUACCUUAAUACUUUCUUUGUAGCCUUCUAAUGUGAUUCACCUAGAUUAGAUUGAAAUCUACCCAGCAAGCCAACAAUGAAAGCAAGAUCCGGCCUAGUACAUAUGUUGGCAUACAUUAAACUGCCUACCAAAGAAGCAUAUGAUUUUAAACUCAUUUUUCUCUUGUCCAACUUAGUUUUAGGACAUUGAUCUUAAGUGAAUUUGUCCCCUUUAUUCAUAGGCACGUCAGCACCAUUGCAAUCUUCCAUAUUGAACUUGGCUAAAACUCUCUUAAUAUAUCCCUUUUGUGAUAACCCUAGAAACUUUUUUUGUCAGAUCCCACAUCGCCCAGGGGAGUGGAUCAUAUAUGCCUUAUAUGUACAUGCCCACCUCUAUAUAUCACGAGGCAUUUUGGGAGCUCACUAGCUUCGGAUUCCAUAGGAACUCCGAAGUUAAGCAAGAUCGCAAUGAGAGCAUUCUUAGGAUGGGUGACCCACUGGGAAGUUCUCGUGUGAGUUCCCAGAAACAAAACCGUGAAGGUGUGGCCCAAAGCAGACAAUAUCGUGCUACGGUGGAGUCGAGACUAGGAUGUGUCAGAAUGGUAUCAGAGCCACUCUGCCAUUUGGUGCGAGUGUGUCGACGAGGACGUCGGGCCCCUAAAAGGGUGGAUUGUUAGAUUCCACAUUGUCUAGGGGAAUGGAUCAUCUAUGCCUUAUAUGUACAUGCCCACCUCUAUAUAGCACGAGGCCUUUGGGGAGCUCAUUGGCUUCAAAUUCUAUAGGAACUCCGAAGUUAAGUGAGAUCGCAACGAGAGCAUUCCUAGGAUGGGUGACCCAUUGGGAAGUUCUCGUGUGAGUUCCCAAAAACAAAACCGUGAAGGCGUUGCCUAAAGCGGACAAUAUCGUGUUACGGCGGAGUCGAGACUGAGAUGUGUCAAAAUGGUAUCAGAGCCACUUUACUGUUCGGUACGAAUGUGCCGACAAGGACAUUGGGCCCCUAAUGGGGUAGAUUGUAACAUCCCACAUCAACCAAUGAAAAUGGAGGGGGGUGAUGUGCCUUAUAUGUACAUGCCCACCUCCAUAUAGCACGAGGCCUUUUGGGAACUCAUUGGCUUCGGAUUUCAUCGGAACUCCGAAGUUAAGCGAGUUUGGGCAAACGCAAUCCUAGGAUGGGUGACCCACUGGGAAGUUGCUCGUGAGUUCCCAGAAACAAAAUCGUGAAAGCGUGGCCGGGGUCGAAAGCGGACAAUAUCGUGUUAUAGCGGAGUUGAGACUGAGGUGUGACAAAAUAGUAUCAGAGCCACUUUGCCGUGUGGUGCGAGUGUGCCGACGAGGACGUCGGGCCCCUAAGGGGGGUGGAUUGUUAGAUCCCACAUCACCUAGGGGACUGGAUCUUCUAUGCCUUAUAUGUACAUGCCUACCUCUAUAUAACAUGAGGCCUUUUAGGAGCUCACUGGCUUCGGAUUCCAUAGGAACUUCGAAGUUAAGCGAGAUUGCAACGAGAGCAUUUCUAGCAUGGGUGACCCACUGAGAAGUUUUCGUGUGAGUUCUCAAAAGCAAAACCGUGAAGGCGUGGCCCAAAGCGGACAAUAUCGUGUUACAACGGAGUCGAGACUGGUCCUAGGUGACCAACUGGGAAGUUCUCGUGUGAGUUCCCAUAAAUAAAACAGUGAGGGUGUAGCCUAAAGAAGACAAUAUCAUGUUACGACGAAGUCGAGACUAGGAUUUUCUCUCACCCAAACUCGCUUAACUUUGGAGUUCCGAUGGAAUCCGAAGCCAGUGAGUUCUCAAAAGGACUCAUGCUAUAUGGAGGUGGGCAUGUACAUAUAAGGCACAUCACCCCCUCUCUGUUAGUCGAUGUACAAUCCACCCCCUUAAAGGGACGUAGGGGGCCGACGUCCUCGUCGGCAUACUUGCACCGAACGGCAGAGUGGCUCUGAUACCAUUAUGACACAUCUCAGUCUCGACUCCACCGUAGCACGAUAUUGUCCACUUUGGUCCACACCUUCAUUGUUUUGUUUCUAGGAACUCACACAAGAACUUCCCAGUGGGUCACCCAUUUUAGGAAUGUUCUCGUUGUGAUCUCGCUUAACUUCGGAGUUUUUAUGGAAUCCGAAGCUAGUGAGCUCCCAAAAGGCCUCGUGCUAUAUGAAGGUGGGCAUGUACAUAUAAGGCAUAAAGGAUCCACUUUCUUGAACGAUGUGGGAUCUAACAAUCCACCCCCCUUAGGGGCCCGACGUCCUCAAUGUCAUACUCGCACCACACAGCAGAAUGGCUCUAAUACCAUUUUGUCAUGCCCCAAUCUCGACUCCGUCGUAGCAUGAUAUUGUCUGCUUUAGGCUCCGGCCACUCCUUCACAGUUUUGUUUCUAGGAACUCAUGAGCAACUUCCCAGUAGGUCACCCAUCCUGGGAUUACUCUUGCCCGUACUCGCUUAACUUCGGAGUUCCGAUGGAAUCCGAAGUUAAUGAGUUCCCAAAAGGCCUCGUGCUAUAUGGAGGUGGGCAUGUACAUAUAAGGCACAUCACCCUGCUCUCCGUUGGUCGAUGUCGGAUGUUACAUCUUUUUCCUGUCUCUGAUUAUCUCAAUCCUUAAAACAUAAUGAGCCUCCCCCAAGUCUUUCAUCUCGAAGUUAAAACUAAGCAUAGUUUUGGUUUCAUGCAGCAAUUGCAAAUUGGAACUAGCUAUCAAAAUGUCAUCCACAUAUAGUACCAAGAAAAUGAAUUUGGUACCUUUGAACUUAAAGUAUAUGAAGUCAUCGACCUUGUUCUCAGUAAACCCGGGUGUUGUUACAACUUUUUCAAAUUUAAGGUACCACUAUCUAGAAGCUUGUUUAAGUCUAUACAUUGACUUGUUGAGCUUGCAAACCAAACUAUCCUUCCGAUUGAGGAAAGUCAUUUAUACAUCCAUUUGAUGUAAUUCAAGAUCAAAAUAAGCUGUUAAUGCCAUGAUAAUCCUCAUAGAGUCAUUUGAAGAAACUGGGGAAAAAGUGUCACUAAAAUCAACCCCUUCUUUUUGUGUAAAAUCCUUCACUACCAGCCGAGCCUUGUACCUUUCAAUUUUACCUUGAGCAUCUCUCUUGGUUUUGUAAACCCACCUGCAACCUAUUGGUUUAGUUUUAGAAUUAGAUUUCACCAAGGUCCAGACAUUGUUCUUGGACAUGGAUCCCAAUUCUUUUUCCAUAGCUUUCUUCCAUAAGACUACUUGUGGACUUGUCAUUGCAUGAGAAUAGGUCAGUGGAUCCUUAAUAUCUCUUAGAUCAAAUUCAUUCUCCUGAAGAUAUACAUAGUCAUUUGAAAUAACUAGUUUUUUCACUCUCAUUGAAUGUCUCAUGAGUUACUGCACAAGUUGAUGUUGAGUUCUUGAAUUUCUUCAGCCACAUAUUCAAGAUGAUCAUCAGCUACAUGCUUGUUAGAAAUGUUCCCUAAAACCAAUCAUAUAAUGAUACUUUACGGACAUUUUACAAGUUAAACUAAUCUAGUUUAAUAUAAAGGGUAAAGAAUAUUGUUUAAAGCUGUCUCAUAUAAAUGUUAUAUACUUAAACGAUAAGUCCAAGGAAUAUGUAAUUCGGAGAAUGUGAUCUAAAGAAGUUAGAUUCAUGAGACCAUUCUCUUUCGUGUACAUAUCCUAAACGUUCCUGAUCAUAGGAUUGCCAAUUGGGCAUUGACAGUCUGUUAAGAUCAGUAUGUGUUAUGUUUUCUUUUAAAGAGAAUGACUGGUCUCCAGUCAUUGGUGUGACCGACACCAAGACAAGCAUGUAGGUGCUCAAUAGAAAAUGAGUCCACUAAACACGAUCAACGAGGAGUUCUCAUAUUCAUGUCACAUGAGAACUCAUGGUUGGGAUAAUGCAAAGUAGUACUUUGACCUGAGGCAUCAUAGUUGUCUUGUGGUUAGGUCCUUUAUCUUUGACUAUGUAAAGUUACUCCGUCAGAGGGUGUCCACGACAUAGUUGGGGUUAAGCCACUUAGUCACGGAGGCAAGUGAAUGCGUAACAAGGGAUCUCUAGACUUUAAACUGUUUGAGGGAGAAUACUUUAUGAUAUGAUUAAGAAUCUCUGGCUAGAGUAUGAAUGAGAUUUAGGAAGUCGUAUCAAAUCACAUUCAAGGUAAUCAUAUAAGUAAGAGAAUCACAUUGGAUAGUAGACAUGAAUAAACUAUCAAACCAAACAAUGUGAUCAAGAGUAUUGUAUUAGAGAAAGACCGUAUUUCAUUGUAAUCCUAAACUUAAUAGGUUCUCCACCUCUUCUUAUUAGCUUGGGUAGCCAUGAUAUAAUGCUAGAUGUCACUCAUGGUUUGUGGAAUCCCUAAAGGUGUAUAAUCACUAAGGGGAGAAUUGAAGGUAUGUUUCAAUUUACAAUCGAUUUGAAGAGUUCUAAUCGCCCACUGCCUCGCUAAAAUGAACCUAAUGGAUCGUACACCGUGUAAGGUAGAGAUUGAAGAAACAACAGAGAUGAGUAAGGAUAAUUAAAUGGUUUAAUUAUUUAUAGCUAGGAUUAAUUAAUAUGUUAAUUAAUCAAAUGAAUAAGUUUGUUAUAGACCUCGGGUUAGUUUUGAGCUACAAGGCCCAAUGGGAUUUGAAUGUCAAGUCCAAUAACUCAAGUUGUAUGCCAACUUGAAACACAAAGGGCCUCAAAGCCUAAAGAACCUAAUAUGGCCGGCCAUAAGAGUGAAGGGUAGUGAACUUGGCUUAAUUGUGUAUAAAGGAAACUUUAUAGCCAUUUCAUCCUUAAGGUUUUCUUUGACGAAAUUGGAGAUAACACAAGCUCUCAUUUGCUCUCUAAGAAGCCGAGCACCCUAGAGGAACAUAGCUAGCAAUCUUCCUUCAUCUAGGUCACUUAUCUCUUCAUCAAUGCUCUCCUUGGUGUGGAGACUUAGAGGUUCUCUAUUUUGGGAACUUGGAGAAUCCAUUCAUCCAUCCUCCUCCAAGAAAUCCAUGGAGCUAAGACGUAAGGAAAGAAGGCCCUAUCUCUUGGGUGAUUAGCCUUUGCUUAUGCCAAAAGGAAUCAACAAAAGUAUAAUAUUUCUUAACUCACUUUGUUUAUGAGUUGAGUCUUGGUUCACCAUAACUACUAGGCUUUGAAUUUCAUGCGUUAAGUUUUGUUUUUGAGUGCAUACAAGCAUGAUUCCGCCUUUUAAUUGUUAAUAACAUGCAUAGAUGUUGCUCAAAAGAAAUAGUUUUCACAAAUAUUUCCUUUAAGGUUGCAGUUCAUUUUCAGUCAUCUCAAUGUCUUCAUAUCUAAUUGUAGAUGGUGUGCUUGAGAAAAUUGGAAUCUGCACAUAGUCAUUUACUGCAACAUUAUCAUUUGUUUGACUAAUUUCUUCGAACACAAAAUCUUCAGCUACCAAAUUUGCAACAUCUUGAUCUUCAAUGAAUGUAACAUCCCACAUCGCCCAUGAGAGUGGAUCCUCUAAGACUUAUAUGUAUAUUUCCAUCUCUACUUAGCACGAGGUCUUUUGGGAGCUCAUUGGCUUCAGGUUCCGUAGGAACUUCGAAGUUAAUCGAGUUAGCGUGAGAGCAAUCCCAGGAUGGGUGACCCACUGGGAAGUUCUCGUGUGAGUUCCCAGAAACAAAACCAUGAGGGCAUGGUCUGGGCCCAAAGCGGACAAUAUCGUGCCACUGUGGAGUCGAGCCCGGGAUGUGGUGAGGGUCCGGGCCGGGAUGUGACAAUUUGGUAUCAGAGCCUAACCCUGGUCGUGGUGUGCCAACUAGGACGUCGGGCCCUUAAGGGGGGUGGAUUGUAACAUCCCACAUCGCCCAGGGGAGUGAUCCUUAAAUGUAUAUUCCCAUCCCUACCUAGCACGAGGCUUUUUGGGAGCUCACUGGCUUCGGGUUCCAUCGGAACUCCGAAGUUAAGCGAGUAACGUGAGAGAGCACUCCCGUGAUGGGUGACCCACUGGGAAGUUCUCGUGUGAGUUCCCAGAAACAACAUCGUGAGGGCGUGGUCGGGGCCCAAAGCGGAUAAUAUCGUGUUACGGUGGUGGAGCGAGCCCGGGACGUAGUGGACCCCGGGCCACAUCACCCAAGGGAGUGAUCCUUAAAUGUAUAUUCCCAUCCCUACCUACCAUGAGGCUUUUUGGGAACUCACUGGCUUCGGGUUAAACGAGUAGCGCGCGAGAGCACUCCCAUGAUAGGUGACCCACUAGGAAGUUCUCGUGUGAGUUCCUAGAAACAAAACCGUGAGGGCGUGGUCGGGGCCUAAAGUGGACAAUAUUGUGUUACGGUGGUGAAGCGAGCCCGGGAUGUGGUGGACUCCAGCCCGGGAUGUGACAAUGAACACAACAUUAUGAGUCUCUUGAAUCCGUGAAUCAGCUUGUGGAUAAUAGAAUUUAUAGCCCUUGGAUUCCUAAUAAUGUCCAAUGAAGUAACAAGUUGUGGUUCUGGCGUCCAACUUCCUUCCAUUUGGAUUAUAAAAUCACCCUCAAACUUGCAUCCCCAUACGUGGAAAUGCCCAAAACUAGGCCUUCUACCUGUCUAGACUUCAAAACGUGUUCCUUUCAUGGAUUUAGUAGGCACUCUGUUCAAAAUAUAGUUAGCAGUCUUAAAUGCUUCACCCCAGAGAAAACUAGGUAGUUUGGAUCUUGAAAUCAUACUUCAAACCAUCCCAAUUAAAGUUAUAUUUCUUCUUUCUGAUACACCAUUUUGUUGUGGUGUACCUGGUGUAGUAUACUGCACCAUUAUGCCUUGUUGCUGGAGAUAGAUUGCAAAAGGGCCCUUAUGUUGUCCAGCUUCUGUGUACCUGCCAAAAUACUCUCCCCCUCUAUCUAAUCUAACAAUUUUGAUUUUUCUAUUUAGCUGCAUCUUAACUUCAGUCUUAAAGAUUUGAAAACAGUCAAGUACUGCUAUUUUUUUCACUAAUGACAAAAGUAGAACCGUAUCUAGAGAAAUCAUCAAUGAAAUUCACAAAAUCACUAUUCCCACAUAUGGUUUUAACAGGAAAAGGACCACAAACAUCAGUAUGCACAAUCUCAAGAAGGUUUUGACUCAUCUUUGCUUCAAAAUUUCUGAUAUUUGUUAACUUUCCUUUCAUACAAUCAACACACUCUUUUGCAUUUUUGAAAUCAAGUGCAAGAAUCAAGUUUGCCUUAGCUAAUUGUAAAACUCUUUCUUUAGAAAUAUGUCCAGUCUUUUAUGCCAUAAACUAUAUGAUGACUCGGAUUCAUGCAUUCUUUUAGCAGUAGUACUCAAAAAAGUGAUGGUCUUUCUUCAAACAUAUAGUCUAUCUUCCACAAUUCAUCAUGCAAAAUAGCAAUCCAAAGUAAAGUAUUCAUUUUGUUUUUCUAGAAAAAUUUUAUGCAUGAAUCAUCACAAAGAAAACCGAAACCUUGUUUUACCAAUUUUGAUGCAGAAAUUAAACUUCUUCUCAUAUCUAGAACAUAAAGAGCAUCUUUCAAAUGAAGAACAAAACCUGAGUUCAUUUUAAGUUUCACAAUCCCAAUUGCUUCAACACCUACUUUUGUCCCAUUCCCCACAAAACAUUAUAAGGGUCUUUAUAAGUUUGUUUUUGUUUUACAAAUCCAUGCAAUGUGUUUGUAAUAUGAACUGAACAUCCUUUGUCAAACCACUAGGAAUUUCAAUCAAAUUUGAUUCUACAAAACAUAGACAUUAGGUCUACCUUUACUCCUCAGCCAAUCCUUGAAUGUUUCACAAUCCUUUCUAUAAUGCCCCAUAAAUUUACUGUGAUGACAUCUAAUCUUAGUCACAUCUUUCACAUUAAGAUUGUUAGAUUUAGAGGGUUUUGAGUAUUUUGUAGGUUUGGCAGACUUAUUGCCAUGAUUAGAGAAUUUAGAUACCUUACCAAAAGCAAUAGUGGUCUCUUUAUUUCCGGCAUGCACUAGGUUCACAACUUAUGUUUCUUUUCAUUUUUCUUGCCUUUGCCGAGUUUCCUCUUGCACACAUUGGGCAAUUAACUCAUCCACAGUCCAGGUCUUAUCUUGGGUGUUGUAUGACACUUUCAAUUCGUUGUACUUCGUUGCAAGAGCUUGCAGUAUCAUAAAAACCAGUUGUAUCUCACCAAUAUUAACCUCCAUGGAAUUGAGUUUCUCUACUGCAUCCAUCAUCUUCAUGAUGUGAUCUCUAAUGGAUGCAUUACCUUCAAUCUUGUAGGUUGUCAAGAUAGACAUAUAUUGACUAAUCUCAGUCUUAUCAGAUUCUUUAAACUUGUUCUCAAUGGCCUGGAGAUAAUCAACAGCAAGAUCAUGCUUCUUGAUUCCCCCUCUCACAAUAUCUGUCAUCCCAUUCUCAAGAAUGGACAAAGCAAUUUUGUUGGCUCUAGUCCACCUUUCAAACUCAGCCUUCUCUGACUUGGUACUUUUGUCUGUCAAUGGUGAUGGCCAAGGCGCAUCUAAUGCUAUAUCAAACUCAUUAAAAGUAAGCAAUAGACCAAUUUUAUGCCUCCAUCUCUUGUAGUUACCUCCCCCAAUAAGAAUGGGAACACUUGCAAGGUUGAGAGUUUUUAGAGGAACUGCAAACAUGUCAAAAUGAAAUCACAAGAGAGAACUAUAAGUUCCUGAUUCCAAUCUACAAUCACUAAGUACAUCACUGUAAUGAAACAAUUUAGUCAUAUAUACAGACUUUUCAAUGUAAUUGAAAAACAUAUAUAGAUCAAACAACCCUAUAGUGAUGAACACAUUGUAUUAUGCAGGUUCACAACUCAUGGUGUUUUCUAGUUCCAAUAGAUCAAAACAAUGAACAAAAUAAAACAGUUAAUCUCUUUCAGAAUAAUCAUGCAAGAAUUCAAAAUUUUCAAUAUGAAUUACUGAUGAAUAAAUCAGAGAACAUUAUUGUUGAUUGACAAGAAUUACCUCAAUUUCACAAUCUAUGAGAACACGCAGCGGAACUUAAAUGUUGAAACAUGAAUCCAAAAGAGUUUUGUUUCCUAGAUUGUUACUUGGACGAAAACCCGAUAAGUCGAAUGUGAACCGAACAUUGUGGGAAAAAUCCCCUUUCUUUUCAGAACAGCAACGGUCAAAAUUCGACACUUUUAAGAAAACCCUAGCUUAUCUUUUUAGUUACCAACGGUCGAUUAAUUUUUAAACUUAACUGAGUAGCUGCAAGUUAAAGGUGUUUUCCAAUUGAAUUUAACCACAAGAUUUAUUUAGGCUCUGAUACCACAUGUAAGAUGAACUCAGAGACAUCAAAAACAAGAUUAGUCUCUCCCAAUAAUAGGUUAUUGGUGCAAAACGAGAGCGUUAUUUGUGAGAGUAGUGGCUUAUGUAUUUAUACUAAGCACAUCGAUUGCCCUAUUACAAUCCUAGAAGGAAUACAAGACUACAUUCCUUAUACCAAUAUGAGCAUACACAAGAGUCCUCAACAAACCAUAAAUUGGAUUAACUCUUGUCAACAUGAAUUAGACUUUUUGUAAUAUCGAUUAUCCCAAAACUUGUAAGAAUCAUACUCAUACUCUUACAAUUUGUUCAUACUUGUUACUGAAUCCCAAAACUAAAGCAAACCCAUAAAUAUCGAACUGAACUGAACUCAUAAAUCUCAAGAACCACUUCUUUGGUUUUUAAAUUUUAGAGAUCAAAGUGAAGAGUUAUGACAAUAUUAUGGACAAUUUUAGCUAAUAAGCCCUUUAAAAAAUAUAUCUAGUAUUAAAGUGGAUCAUUCAACUGUUUUCCUGAUAAAUAUUUGUUUCAGGGCCUACGAUCAUCACCCCACCUUAUAUAUUGCUCCACAUCUUCUCUCUCCCCAAAACCCUAGCUCAAUUCUCUACCACAACAACAACCAAGCGUUAUCCUACUAAGUGAAAUCGAUUGUAUAAAUCCUACAAUGUCACUAUGCUCGGCUUUGCUCAAAGUCUUCCAUUAGUUCCAAAUACUCCAUUUAUUUUCUUAAAGUCUAUUUCCAAGUCUUCCUAACUCCAUUCUCUCUCAAAAAAUAAAAAAUCCCAAUCGUACAUUGUUACAUACAUUCCUGCUAAAACAUCUAUUCCCACACAUUAUGGACGUUGUAAACAUUUUCUUGUUAGACUACUUAUCAAAGACUCAAAGCCAAACUCAUGAAUCACACAACCACUAAUCAUCUAGAGAGCACAAAUUCGGAAAUUCAAAACCAAAACGUGGAAGCAAAAAUAUAAAAGCACAAUUACAACCAUACUUUUAUUUAUUUAUUUCGGAUCUGGUACCGCAUGUAGAGUGCAUUACACUUCACAACAAACCAAAUCAAAGAUAAGUGGCGAUUAUUAGAAAGUAAAACAUUUGUCAAGUAGUUGGGUCUGAAAGUUGUUCAUGCACGGGCCACCUUUGUAUACAACCCAUUGACACUGGCUACACCAAUAAUCAUCUCUGUAAUAAUUAUAAAUAUCGGCCCAGCGAAUUCCAUCUAGACCUGGCCGCCGAAAACUGCAGAAGAAUUCCGUAUUUCCCAAAAAGUCAGGUUUAAAAUGGAAUGUAAAGAGUGAGGGUCUCUCCUCCCUCCAAAGUGUUUGUGAUGUUAACACGUCUUGUCCUCACACCCUCACACGCCGUCACUGUAAACUAGAAAAGUAGCAUGACGAGCAGCAGUGUACUUCCAUUGAACCAAGCCAUGUGGUAUAGCAUUGUUAAUUUUGAAAAAAUCGAUUUUAGCUUGGUGGAAAAACUCUAGGAUGGAUCAUGUCUUUUUAUACCCUGGGAUGGAUCAUGCCUCUUUAUACUCUUGCUAUAUAUGCUAGCUACGUUGCAUGAGCACUUGCAACAGUGCAUGCUCUUUGGUACCGUUUGGUACGUGGGACGGGACGGAACGGAGUGGGACGAGACGUUUACACGUUUGGUGUGCCUAAAAUGGGUGGAACGCACUAUUGCAUGGGAUGAAUUUUUGGUGAAUUUUCGUUCCACCUCAUCCCCUAGAACGAUUUGUUCCACAUCCGUGGAACACAAAAUUAUAACCUCUCUGUCUCCUUCUUCUUCCUCCUUGUUUCCAUCCGAGGGCAUCUUUGCUCCCUCUCCGUUCCGUCCCGUCUUGUCCCGUCUCAUUCCGUUCCAUUCCAUCCCGUCUGCAUACCAAACGAUACCUUUGAGACAGAUACAUUAGCGAGCGAAUCAAGCGAAUGGGGCAAUGCGGUAGUGCUUCAUUUGGGAUGACUUAAAUAUUUUAUAUAUUAUAAUUAAUGAAUUAUUUUUAUUAAAACAUAAAAGGGCUGAUAGUUGUCAAUUUUUAUAUAACCCCAAGUAAGUAAAAAUAUGACAUCCUUUCAUUUUGCUAAAUUUCCUUAAAUUUUUACUAAACCUACAAUUCAAAAGCGAUUUUUUUUUUUAAAGAAAUAGUUAUUUUAGUACAUAUUAAUUUUAAAAAUUUUUGUAUAUGAUUUCUAUUUUCGAAAUUAUCAUUAACUAUUGUGAUAUUUGUUGUGUGACAUUUUAAACAAGUUAGGAAAUGACAUUAGGAGAGAAGCUAAUCCCUCUCAAUGAUAUCCCAUGAUCAAUAUCAUUAUUGUGAAAUCAUCUCAUAAAAAAAUGUUAGAGAGACUACAUUUUUGUACCAUGUUAGUUACCAUGAGGUAAAUGAUGUGUAUAUAUCAUGUCAAUAAAUAAAUCUAUUUUAUUGGAUGUAAGUUGUGUGUAUUACUUGCCAUAUGAAAUGAUUUACAAAUGUAGUUUAAAGAUGUGGUCUCCCUAACAUUAUUUUUUCAAUAAACUUCAUCGAUAUUUUUUUUGUAGAAUUAUGUCACUAAAUUUUAUUAGGGAAUUUUAACGAAAAGCACCCGGUACUGUUCAUUUUAACGAAAAACUACAUUUUUACACUAAAAAGUCAAUCCUGGUACUAUUCACUUUGCCCUUUAUUUUGUCCUUAUCAUUAAAACUCAAAGUUUUCAAGCCCUUUCCAUUAGUUUUCCUAUUUUAUUAAGAAGUAGAUGAAAAUAUGACAGAUAAGUUGGCAUCGGAGCACUCAACUAAUAAAAGAAGGAUAGUACUUGUAUCCCUGCAUGUGGGGAACGUACUACUUAUAUCUUAAAUAAAAAGGUUCAAUUUUUUAAUCAUCAUUUGAAGAUUAUUUACAAAAAAAUGAUUCGAAUUGAAGAUUGUUUAGUUACCCAAUUACAUUAAUAAAUUGACAAUUAAUAUAAAUUUGCUACUUGGUACUUACAUCAUCGAUUUGUUCUAUAUAUUCAAAUGACUAUUGAUUCAAAUAAUCAUUUGUAAGGAUGAUUUUCAAAUGAAGAUUAAAAAAUUAUCUGGUUUCAAUUAUAAUUUAUCCGGUAAAAACAACUUAUUAAUUUCUAAAUCGUGAAAUAGAGGGAUAUCGAUGCAAUAAUUAUUAUUCUUUUUUUUUUGGAAGCAUAAUUAUUAUCCUUUUGACAAUCAAAUGAAACACACAGUCAGUCUGACAUCCCAAAAAAAAAAAUCAAAACUGAUUUAUACCAAAAAACAAAUGAAAAUAUUUAUCACACUCUUGAUUUAUUACAUAGACAGCUAUUUUAUACCAUAUGAAAUCAUCUUUCCUUUCGCAUCAACAACCAAGUCAGAAGGCCUACUGCGAUGGUAGAGAAUUAGGGGUCUUUAGAUUUGCAAGGGUCUCUUUAUAAAAGAGAGACGGCGCCCUCUUGUCCAACGCAAUGAAACGAUAUGGCCCUCUAUUAUCUACUAUCUGGUAGACUAGAAAAAGGGGUCCCAACGUUUUUCCAGAUUAGAGUUUGACCACGGCGAGCUACUUCGUUCCUCUUGUUUUUAUUCUCCAAUUCCGAAUCCGCUAGUAGGGAGUAAAUGGUAUGAGCGAAAGUUCUCAUCCAAUUUUCUAUUUCAUCUCUCUAACACUAUAUUUCCUACUUAAAGUCUCUACUUGGUACCACCAAAGUCAAAUGUGGUUGCAUGCUUCUUUGUUUCUUCAUGCAUUUCUAUACGUGGCAUUCAAACAAAAUAGCACAAAAUUAUUGUUUUUUUAAUUUUGUCAAUUUUGGUUUUUAAAUGUUUGAUAGAAUUGAGUUUUAUAAUUAAACCAUGUGGCACUAUAUGAUUGGAAAUGUGGGUUACUGGUGUGCCCCAUCAAGACAAUAAGGGGAAAUUUGAGAGAAAAGUAACGGAAUGACCAAAUUAAUUUUCAUGACCUAUUUUUAGAAGUCAAAUUGAUUACUUUUCUAUUCUAGAGAUCAUUUUGAUUGGAAGAUUCAAUUUUCAAAGACCAACCGUGAUAAAAACCCAAUCAUCUAACCACUUCUUUCCCUCUAUAUUCCCUCACCAAAAUAUCGUUACCUGUUUGAAAUUUUUUUAAUUUUUUUUUUAACAAAUGAUAUUACCUACAAAGGGGGUGGGGGUGGUGUGGUGUGGUGUUUUUGGAGGGGGGGUGCUAAGCCUAACAUUGGGUUAGCCAUAAUAAUGUGGUUCAAGAAUCGAAUCUAAGACCUCUCACUUACAAAUGAAGAUGAAUACUACUUGAUCGUAGUAUUAAGUGGUUAUAGCAAUAUUUCUUAACAACGUUGUCGAUGCAAAUUUCCACUGUCUUCAGUCUUGAUGAAAAUGCACCUGCAAAACAAUUAACACAUUUGAUCAAGUGGGGGGGGGAGUGAGGGGGGUUAGGCCAAUGGAUCUCUGAUGCCUAAGUCAGUUUCUCUGAGAAAGUAAAGUGUUUAAGGCUUUUUUAGGGUCACAAAAGCUUCUGAAAUUUGGCAGAAUAUGGGGUAUUUAUAGGGAUAAGGUCGGCCAUAGUGUUAUGGUUUUACCCUACACGUGGCGGCAUCUUAUUGGCCAAGGUUUAUGGAGAAAUAUUCUCAAGAUAUUAAAUAGAAUCUUGAGAUAAUAGAGUAAUUAUCCCUAAUUGAUUUAAAUUGGGAUUACUUACUUGAUUGGAGUCAAUCUUCAAUUGGGAAUGUAUUAAAGAUAUGAUUUGGGUAAUUAAUCCUUAUCUUUAAUACUUUGAUUUUUCCUUGCCAAGGGCAGGUGAGCUAUGAGUAGUCAUAUUCAGCUGCUAAGACCUUCAUGGGUGUGAGUUGCGCAUGGGAGCCUCUGAGAAGCAAGCCCAUUUAUUGAGGGCAAUCUUAUCUUUCUUGAGCAAAAGUACACGUGUCACCUCUAGAAUUUUUGGGAUUAUUUUAAACUCCAUAAAUGCCCCUACACUUAUUGGGCUGCAUGCUAGAAAAGGGUGGUAGGUGUAGAAAUCCCAAGCUGCUUGGGUUUGUUAAGUUGUUUCCCAAUGUGAACUUGAUCUUCUUUCUUGAUUUGGAGAUAGACUUCUUCUAGGAAAAAGAAACCAAUUGUCCCCAAUACCUAUUUAAUUCUACUUUAAGCAGGGGAUUAAAUAAAUUUGGAGAACAAUCAUCAUUCCAACAAGGAAGAGAAGCCAGAGAAAAUUUUUCUUCCUUUUCCCCUAGCUUGCUUCUUCUCUUGCCCUUGCAAAGAGUCGUCUCUCGUUGUAGUUCUUCUUCUUCGUGCCGCACCAAAGUAAGAAAAAUUUGAAUUUUCUUUUUCUUGAAUUUUUAGAAGUCUUGGGACUUGAAAAAUUGGCUCGGCAGGGGCCAAUGAGGUGUGAAACAUGUGGUAAAGGUGCCACGAGGUUGGCUUGGCUUAGGUCAAGGUGCUAGCAGCACAAGCUAGGCUCAGCUCGUAGCUGGCGUGGGCCGAGGGCAUAGGGGCUCGGUGCUGGGCUCUAGCCCGCUGGAGCAUAGAAGAGAGGCGCAGGGAGCUCGCCCCCUUCACAGGUGAACUGGACAAUGGGCCAUUGGGCCAGCUUUAAGAGCUGCUAAGUAUGGCCCCAUGCAGGCGUGAGGUGAGAGGGUGGGAGAGACUGGCUCGGGCCAGCUUUCGGGUCUUGGUGGCUUGGGCCUUCUUGCUCGGGGUGCUUAGUGCUCAAAGAAGAAGGGGAGAGAAGGCGUGGGUCUUCCCUCGUAUUGGGCCGUACUACUACGAGUGAAAGGGUUGAGUCAUGGGGCAUGGCACUGGGCUCUUGGUCCUUUAAUUUAUUUAUUUUUUUGAGCUGCCUUCUAAAUAUUUUCCUUCAUACUUUUUGCAGAAAUUUUGAGAUGUUUACCUCCGAUUGCAAAAGUGACGAGUAUCAUUCACCUUUGUACCGUCAAGGUGGUUCUUCCGGCAAGAUGGGCUACUUCAAGGCUGCGUAUGUCAAGAUCAAUUCUAACGAGCUAUUUCGGGAUUUUCUUAAGGUGUACAAGCAUGCAAUUCUGUCAGGGGUUCACAUCAAGCGGGUGAAUGAUGAUAGCGGCCAUGAACCGUGUGGCGAGGGUGCCACUGCCAGAAAAAGGGCUAUCAAAUUCCAUCCGUAUUAUUUCGUGCUGGGAUUUACUUUUCCCAUGUUGCGUCUUUUUUAGGAAGUGGUAUGCUCCAUGAAAUGCGCACCUGCUCAGUGUUCCCUAAAUGCCAUUCGUAUGAUGGUUCUUCAACAUAAGCAGGUUCUUUGAUCUUGGCUUAACCAUAAAUGAGUUAUGGUGCUUUUUUGAAGUCGACCACAAAGAAGGCAUGGGGUAGCUGAGAUCUCGCCAUAGACUGCUCGAUGCUCUCUACUAAGGAGAUCAUGAGUGGGCGAGGGACACAUUGGAGGUAAGCGAAGAUUGGGAGUUUGACUCCUCUCAUGAGCUGCAUGUUCCUACUAACUUUAUUAGUGAUAAGUGAAUUGCUUCAUUCUUGGCUUGCUUGAAUUUUUUGUUGUGUUGCUCCAUGACUUCAGUUUACUGAUUGUCUUUCUUACUUUAUGUAGAAUCAAAGUUUGGCUCAACUCCAAAAUCGUCGACAGAUAUGAAGAAAGUGCACAUCGCCUUAGGCAUUCCUGCCGAAUACCAUGAAUGACGUUGGUUGCUCAGUCCUCUUCGUCGAGAGAAAGAUGGGCUGCCUCUAAAGAAAGAGAUAAAGCGGAUAAAGGAUAAGGCGUUUACUCAUUCGAUUGCUGUUGUAGAACCUACUACCAAUAAGGUUGGAAAGAAGAGAUCUUUUGAACUUUACUAGUCUUCGAGCCGGUUUAUCAAUUUGCUAGAAAUUUAAUAAACAACUUUUGUUGUUUUGCUUCAUCCUUCUAUUUUGUCAUGUCUUUUGUAAAAGGACAGGUGGCUGGGUGAACUGCUUCGAUGAAGUAGUCAAUCCUACAUCGUCACUUAGGCUUUAGUUUCGGUUUCAAGGCUUCGGGAGCCUUGCUUGCUUGAGGUGACUUGUAAAACUUUGACGUAGGACGAAUGGUUGUGUUGGCUACUUCGAUGGAGUAGUUGAUCCCAUGUUGUCACUUUAGGCUUUAGUCUUAGCUUUGAUGCUCAAUGAGCUUUACCUGCAAGAGGAAAAAAGUGCAAGACUUCUAAAUUAUAAAGUUAGCGGCAGAACUCGUUGCCUUCGUAAGAAGUAGGCGAGUUUGUGUAACUACUGUAGUUGUGAAUCUCGACUUUAGUGGCUUCACGAGUUCGGCCUUCCCGGGGCAUGUUGUGAAGUUUUUAACUUAUAGAGCCAGCAGCCGGACACUUGCUUCUCAUAGAAAAUAAAGGAAAUAUGUGUAGCUGCUAUAGUUGUACUUCGACUUUAAUGACUUCUCGAGCUUUGGCUCUUCCGGGGCAUGUUACGAAGUUUCUAACUUAUAGAGCUGGCGACUGAAGACUUGCUUCUCGUAGAAAGUAGAGGAAAUCCAUAUAGCUACUACAGUCGUACUUUGGCUUUAACGACUUCUCAAGCCUUGGCCCUCUUGGGGCUUGUUAUGAAGUUUUUAACUUAUAAAGCUGGUGGCCAGACACAUGCUUCUCAUAAAAAGCAGAGGAAAUCUGUGUAGCUGCUAUAGUCGUACUUUGGCUCUAUAAGCAGACGGGUCCGCGUAGUUAUACCAGUUGUAAGUCUCGGCUUAUAGAUUACCUUGGGCUGCCAGCAGUUGGGUCGUCGACCGAGCGUUUUAUUUACAAAAGCAAACGACCCGCGUGACCACUUCAGCCAUAUUCUUCCGAGUUGUAACUUGAUUCCGUAAGUCGUUUAACUAGUAUUGCAACACUUUAAAACCAAGCUAUGUUCAUGAAGACUUACACGUCGAGGACAUACCAUCUAGACACCCAAACUCUUUCAUGGGCAGGAAUCCUGCACUUAACGUCUCUUUCAUUUAGAGACUCGAGAUCCCACAAAAUUGAAUCCUUUAGUCAACUAAGUCUAUUCUAGGAAAAGGACUAUCUUGGCCAAUUCAAGGGAAACUAAGCAGUCGUACCACCCAUCCAUGCCUGGAUAUUCCGGAUUAGUUUACCCUUUCAUAAUUAGAGAGGACACGCCAUGUCUGCAAAGGCAGGGGCGUCUUCUGCUUGUCACAGGGGUGGAUAGUUUGUUUAUACAUUCAGCCCAGGCUUGUGAACAAUUCCUUCAAUCUUCAUUGAAAAUAGAGAAAUUUAUUAACUUUGCUAGUAGGCAGUAAUGGCAUAACAACUGAUAAUCUGUGGCAUGCGAGGUCUUAUUCGUCGAGCUACUUAAGUCUUUGAACUUUAUUUGUCUUGAACGGGGUCCAAGGAAUGGUGGGAGGUCACACAUAGUACUUUCUUAGGUUGUAGGCAUUCCACUGCUUGUCAAUGUUUUUGUCACUCAUAGUGGUGAGGUUGUGGUUGCCCUUUUUGCCUACUCAGAUGAUUUUGUACAGACCCUUCCAGAUAGGAGCCAUCUUUUUGGAGCCUUCUCGGCGGGCGCUGAUGAAGGUUUUUUUUAGCACUAAAUCUCUUGUCUGGAAUUGCUGGAUCUUCACUCUCUUAUUGUAGCUGCAAAGGAGCUGCUGCUGAUAGGCUACAAUGCUGGUGAUAACCUUUUCAUGCUCUUCCUCUGCCAAGUCUAAGUUUGUGGCCAUCUCCUUCUCGUUUUACUACAAAUUUGGAAAUAUAAUGUUGAUGCUUAGCACCAUGAUGUUGGCAAGAAUGAUCACCUCAAAGCCAUAUGCCAGGGAGAAUGGAGUUUCACCAGUUACUCUUUUCUUGGAGGUGUGAUAUACCCAUAGAACACCGAGCUCGUCUGGCCAUUUGCCCUUCUUCUCUGAAAUAGACUUCUUGAUGCAAUCGAUGAUAGUCUUGUUGGACACCUCAGUCUGCCCGUUACCCCACGGAUACUGGGGCGUCGACAUGUGUUGCUUAAUGCCAUAUUUUUUUAAGAACUUCGCCAAAUCCUUACCCAUGAACUGCAGACAUUGUUGGUGACGAUGGAGUGCGGGAUGCGAAACAGCAGAUGAUGUUCUUCCAUAUGAAGCACUUUAUGUUCUUCUGGGUAGUUGUAGUCAUGGGUUCAGUUUCGACCCAAAAGUAGUCAGUUGCUAUGAACGAUCAUCAUGCCUUUGCCCCCAAUGGCAAGCGACAUUGGUCCUAUAAGUUAAUCGCAUAAUGCAUGAAUGGCCAAGGGCUCAUUUACAGGUGGAGUUCGUUGGCAGGUAGUGUCGGCACAGGCUUGAAGCAUUGGCAACUGUCUCAUUUUUGUACAUACUCAUUGGCGUCUUAAUGCAUGGUUGGCCAGUAGUAGCCAGCGUUAAGAGCUUUUUGCACCAGGAAGGGCCUCCAGAGUAGUUUCAACAUACGUAUUUUUGGAUUGAGCUAUGAAUCUUCAGGUCAUCGAGAGGUGAUAGGCAGUGGAGAUGUGGUCAUGAGAAGGAUUCGCAAACGAGCAUGUCAUUCCAUAUGUAGUAGCGUGUUGCCUUCAUCUGGAGCUUUUUGGAAUCCAAUCUAUCUGCGAUGAGCGUUCCGUUGACUAAGUAGUUAAUGAUGGGAUCUUACCAACUUGAAGUUAUGUUGAUCCACGCCACCUCAACUACUGGUUCUUCAUAUAUGCUCGGCUUUAUCAAGUACUCGACUGGGAUAGAGUGCUUGAGCUGAUGGUCUAAGGCAGAGCCUAGGCCUGCUAGUACAUCUGCGUGGGCAUUUUCUGCUCGUGGAACUUAAGUGAGUGUGGACGCCUGGAAAGUCACCAGCUGCUUUCGUACUUUCUCAAGGUAUCGGGCCAUCCUUAUAUGCUUUGCUAUGUACUCCCCUGAGGUUUGGUUGGUGAUCAGUUGGGAAUCAUAAUAGAUUGCGAGCUUCUUCAUUGCUAGGUUUUUUGCCAAUCGGAGACCUGCUAGUAGGGCUUCAUACUUUGCUUCGUUAUUUAACACCUUAAAGCUUAAAAUUAUGGCUUGUUCGAGCAUCGAGCCGUCCAAGGUAGUAAGAACUAGGCCUAUUCCAGAUCCCUAGUAGUUGGAUGAUCCAUUGACGUAUAAACGCCAAAAAUCUUCUGCAGGUGGGGCUAGUGCGGCUACAACGUGCUCGAUUGCCUUCAGGGCACUUUCGGGCUGAGUUGAUGCAUCAUUCAGGCUUGGGAUGAAUUAUGCUACGAAGUCCGCCAAUGCUUGGGCUUUUAUCGUUGUGCAGGGCUGAUAUACUAAGCCGUAUUGGCCAAGUUCCAAUGCCCACUUCAUCACUUGUUGAGAAGCAUCUGGACUAUACAAAAUUAAUCGCAGUGGGUAAUGGGUUGGGCGAUGAUCAAAUGCCCUUGAAAGUAGGGUCUAAGCUUCCAAGCUGCAACAAAUAGCGCCAAAACUAGUUUUUCAAUCAUCAGGUAUCUAGUUUCCACAUCAAGGUGAGCUUUAGAUAUAUAUAAUAUGGGCAAUUUGGCCCCUAUCUCUUCUCAUAUGAGGGCAGAGCUCGCUACUACUUCUGAUACCACCAGAUAGAUGCAUAGGUUCUCCGCUGCUUCCAACUUGGAUAGUAGUGGAGGUGAUGUCAGGUACUACUACAGGUCCUGAAAUGUUUCCUUGUAUUCAUUGUCCUAUUUGUCCUUCUACACUCUCUUGAUUGCCUUGAAGAAAGGCUUGCAUUGGUCAAUGGAUUACGAGAGGAAAUGAUUUAGUGUGGGUGUUCAUCCGGUCAGACUUUGGAUCUCCUUCAGUGUUGUGGGAGACUUCAUGUCCAGGAUUGUUUUUAUCUGCCUUGGAUGAGCCUCGAUUCCUCGUUGGUUACAAGGUACCCUAAGAAUCGGCCUGAGGAGAUGCCAAAAGUGCACUUGGAUAAGUUAAGCUUCAUUUUGUACUCUUGGAGGAUGUUAAAAGUCUCUACCAAGUUGUCGAUAUGGUCAGAUCGCUACUUUCCUUUCACCAUGAUGUCGUCGACGUAGACUUCCAUGGUUACUCUGAUUUGCUUCUUAAUCAUCGUGUUUACGAGCCGUUGAUAGAUUGCUUCUGUGUUGUUGAAACCAAAGGGCAUAACCUUGUAGCAGUAUAUGCCUCGCUUGAUUAAGAAUGAAAUUUUCUCCUUGUCAACCUAUUGUAUGGCAAUCUGAUUGUAGCAUGAGUAUGCGUCUAAGAAGCUGAGCAACUAGUUCCCGGAUGUUGAGUCAAUAAGCAAGUAAAUUUGGGGAACCGGGUAGUUGUCCUUAGGGCACGCCUUGUUGAGGUUGGUGUAAUCCAUGCAUACUUUUUAUUUGACCUUAUUUUUUUUCUUCAUCAACACGACGUUGGCUAGCCAUGUUAAGUGCACCACUUUCUUAAAGAAUUUGGCCUCUAGUAACUUAUCGAUCUCCGCCUCAAUAAUCGUUACUCGCUCAGGUGCAAAGUGCUGCCUUUUCUGGAUCACAGGUUUGGAAGUAGGAUCAAUGUGCAGCUUAUGAAAGGUUAUUGCUGGAUCAAUACCGGGCAUGUCAAAUGGUGACCAUGCGAAAACCUCACAAUUUUCCCUAAGGAAAAUCGUGAGUUCUUCCUUCUACGUAGGGCUCAGACAUGAGCCAAUCCUAGUUGUCUUAUCUAGCUAGUAGGGGUCAAGAAUGAUGUCUUCAGCAUCCACUUAGGGUUUCCAUCCUGAUUCAUUUUUCAGGGCAUUGUCGACCUUAACGCCAUCUUCUUGACCUGCCUUCUGUAAUUGCUAUUUGGCGGAGGUAGAAUCGUUUUUCUACACUUCAGUUGCUACUACUGGGGCGAAAGACUUAUUCUUCGAGUCCUUAAGAACUUGUACAGUGCAUCUCCGAGACAUGGCCUAAUCACCUUUUAUCUAUCCGACUGCUUCUCCUAGGAUGCAAAAUUGGAUCUUUUGAUACUCGAUCGAGGUCAUAACUCCAAUCUUCACUAGCCAGGGUCAGCCCAAUAUCCCAUUAUGGGGAGAUUGGUCACUGAUGAUCAUGAAGCUGUGCGAUGAGACAAUCAAUAGGCUAGUUACGUCGAGCAUGAUGGUGCGAAUGGCAGUUGAGGUAAGUUCGUUGAAUCCGCUCAAGACCUUUGCUUUGCAUUUGAUCAUGCUUCAUAGGCCCAUCUUCUAGAUGGCUAACAAUUACAGGAUAUUGACUGAGCUGCCGUUGUCCACCAUAAUUCUGUCAACGAUGGCGUAGGCCAGUUAAACAAAAAUCACCAAGGUGUCAUCGUGGGGAUGGUCUACUCCCUCUAUGUCCUGUUCGGUGAAGCCUAUAAUCGGUCCACAUAUAACAUAUACGGCUUGAACUUGAAAUACCGAUCUCACCUGCUGGAUUUUCCUCUUCUUGAAAUUGUUAGUGGCCCCCAGAUGCUUUGACUUGGCAAAGAUACCGUUAAUUUGAAUUGUCUUGGCUGGGGGUUCAACAUCGGUAUCUACUUCUCGCCUUGGCCGGGUAGCUAGUAUGUCGACAUACUGGUCACACUUAUCUUCUUCACGAGCUACUCAAGGUACUUCCUCCAUAUGGUGCAGUCGUUGGUUGUGUGCAUGGGACGACCUCUAUAGAAUGCUCAUUACUUUGUCUGGUCUAUCUUGGAGGAGCCCCCUCUCAUGGGCAGCGGCUUCUUGAACCAUAGCUUGUCCUUAAGGUGGUGAAAGAUUUAGUUGAUCGGGGAUUGAGAACUUGGUGUACGUCUUGGGUACCGUGUCUUUCUUCGUCAGGGAUUGGUCCUUGCGUCUGAUUUCUGGCUUGUUUUUAUCAUUGAGCGGUUUAUCGCUUGCCUCCUUUUGAGUCGGCUCUGAGUCUUUACGCGGCUGUUUAGGCCACUUUUGGGAGCAUUUGGCCUCAUCCUAGAAAAGUGCUUUUCUACCAAAGCAUAAGAGUCUGCCAGGGUUAAGUUCUCCCCCAUAAUCAAUUCUCUGAAAAGUGGGUAAUCUGCUGGGAGCCCUUUUCGAAAGGUUGAGUAUGCAAUGUUGUCAUCGUAUUCGACGAUCUUCACCUUUUCCACGUUAAACCUCUUGAUGUAAGUGCGGAGUGACUUCUUUAGGUCCUUCUUCAUGUUAAAAAGAUGGUCAAACUUCUUUUUGAUCAAGUAGUAAGACGAAAAGUGAAAACCAAGGAAAGUUCACUGAAGUUCCGGAUUGAUUGUGGUGGCAGGGUGUGGAACCAGUCUUGCGCUUCAUCUUGUAAUGUAGUGGUAAAGUUCUUGCACAUGAGAACGUCAUCGUUGACGUAGAGGGUCAUGGCGCUUCGGUAGUGCAUCAGGUGCUUGUCCGGAUCUUUAUCUUUUUUGAAAAAAGUGAAAUGUGACGGGCUGAACUUCUGCAGUGGCUCUGUCUGCUCGAUCUCGUUUGUAAAUGGUGAUCUGUUCAUGUUGGCCACAUCUCUACGGAGGGCAUUGUCGAUGGUAUCAAUGCACUGGAAUCCGCGCAGCUACUCUGCUAUAAGUCUUUGUACUUCCUCCUGGAUUUGCGCCUCGUGGGGCAGUAGAGCCUCCAACUGCCCUCGGUGCUGACGUACAGGUAUAUGUUGCUCUUCGGCAUGUCCUACUCGUCUAUGUCGCAGUCGCGGUGCACAUGGUUCGCUCUGUGCUGCUUGCUGUAAUGCUUCAUGGGGGCUGCCAGUGGAACUUUAGCUGGACUGCUCUCAUGCUCUCUUCUGUGCGUCAUGUGGCUGCUUACUUUGGUGCCUCACAGGAGGAUCUCUUUGUGGGCCUAGCCUCGUGUGGAUGUUUUGCUUGGAAUAUCCUGAGUGCUCAUCGGAGUGUGGACCCAACCUUGAAUGCACAUUGACUCGUGAGCCAAGUUAGUAAUGAACGCUUCUCUGCACAUCUAGGUGGGAGAAGAUCUUCCCCCGAGGGCCCAAAGGAAAGUGCACACUACCCAAACGCAUGGUUCGUGACGGGCUUAGGGCACUUUACCGGGACGUCACAGGAAUGAGUCAUGUUCCUCCGCCCUUGUCCUGCUUCAGGACACCUCGUAUGGGAUGCACUGAAUCUCGAUGUGCUCAAGGAGUUGGAUUACCAAGGUGGUCUGCUGCACGAGGGUACUCGUCAAAUUAAAGACCUGUAGGGGCAGGUGGUGCUUGUUAUUUGGAUUGAAAGAGUUUGGAUAAUGAAUAUCUCCAUGUGUGGUGGAAGUGUAGUGGACUACAUGUACAAUACUUAAGCCCAUAGCGGGUAUUUCUGUAGAAAUUAAGGUGAAAAUAGCCUUGUAUCGACGUGGGACCUGUGGUCAGAAUAUGGAUCUCCGAAGAUGGCCUUGGAUUAGAUUGGGUUGCAGGCUAGGUCGUCGAAGCAGGUCGCGCGGGGGGGGGGCAACCUAGUGGGUGGCUGGCUGGGCAGCUUAAGCUUAAGCCUAUUGGGAUGCCUGCCUAGCAACAGUUGCCAUGGUCUAGGCUCGGGCCUGGGCUUGCUGUGCAGUAGGGCCUACUACUACGGUGGGCUGGGCCUCCUGCCCUGGGCUUGCCGUGGUAGCUGGUGUAGGCUGGGCCUCCUGCCCGUAACCUGUUGGUGCCAUAGCAGCACGAAGGGCCGUUGUAGCACGCGUAUGGGCCUCGGCUUGGGCUGCUGAUACUGCGGUGGUCUUUGCUGUAGGCUGCAAGGUGGUGGCCGCGGUGGUGGCGUGGCUCCACAGUAGUAGGGCUUCUCCUACCAUCAUGUUGAGCCUCGAAGAUCUCCGUUGUAGGGCUAUGUCCUCGUCUUCACUCUCCGGUCCAAAUCCUUGUACGUAUAGGGUUUCGUUCAUCAUGGUUUCUGAAUUUCUUACCAUUGUAUCCUUGGAAUUAGUUUACUGAUUGUAAGCAUUACUUCUGUUAUGCAUUGAGGAUUAGCUACCAUUGGAUUGACAAAUUUUUUUAUUUUUUUAUAUAUGAAACUAAAUUGAGCUUGGAUUUAUUCCAACCUUUUAAGUAGUUAGUUGAACAUUGAAGUGCUUAAUUUGCUCAAAACCAAUUGGGUAUUCGUCUGUUUAGCAAUUAUAAUCUUUGGAAAGUCUAAAAAGAUUGAAUUUUAAGCCACCUUUGAAUUUUUAAUCCACCCAUUUCCUGUUAUUAAGCACGACUGUAUUGAUCCCAUUUUAAUUUUCCCAGCUUAAAGUUGCAUUCUUGGAACCUGAUAUGUCAAUUUUUGAGCUAAACUUCAGCAGUAGGGUGCUUUUUAGGCUGCAAUAUAUAUGUUCCAGGAAGUAGAAGGUCAAAACUAUGGUAGAUGAGAGAGGCCAUUUGGUGCACACCCUUUGCACUUAAAUUAGAAUUCUUUGUUCUUUUAAAGAUAUUUUCUGUGAUGUUUAAUAAUUAGGAUGGAUUGUCCAACAUUAAUGCUUACUUUUAUUGUUCAUUUGGUAACAAAACUAAUGGGGCAAAUGAAUAGAAACAAUUAACACUACAUGCAUCCUUUGUGUUUUGUGAUAUAAUUGUGUUUGCACCUUGUUAUGUACCACCUUGGCCUUGACUUGUCAUGGAAAAUAGUUCCAAUUUAGUCCAGGAAGCCAACUUUUAUCAGGCUUGGCCUUAAAAGUAUUGGGACAUUGGGUGGCACUAAUACAGAAUGAUAUAAUUGUGUUUUGUGUUUCUAAUUUAGUCCAGUAAGCCAAAUUUUGUUAUGUGAUUCUAAAAUAAUUGUGUUUUGUGGGUGUGUUGCAGAUUUUUGGGUGUUCAAUAUGCAAAUUCUUCCUUGAAUUAGUGAUGUAAUUGGGCGGUACAUCGUGAUGAUGUUGAAUACGGCAUUGCCCCAUGACGUAUAGCUAUGCUUCACAUUUUGGAAAACCCUUAUGGAGUUUUAUUAAUGAGUGCAUUUUUGCUCACCACCAUUUAGUGUGGUGUAUGCUUACCACCCUAUUUAUCACCGUUAAAUAAGUUUGAAUUUUGAGAUUUGUGUCUAUCCACUACACGAAUCUCGAAAUUUAAACUCAUCUAACUGUGAUAAAUAGGAUGGUGAGCAUACACCACACUAAAUGGUGGUGAGCAAAAAUGCUCCCUUUAUUAAUUAGUUGAUUUGGAAGAUCGUAGUUUGAUAUAUAUAUAUAUAUAUAUAUAUGAUGUUAGAUUGUUAGUUAAUGUUUGUAAUUUUGGUUAAAAGAUGUGUAAUAUGUAUUGGAAUUCAAAAUGUAUAAAAAAUAAUAAAAUAUUUUUAACGGGUGUUAAUGGGUGAAAUGUGUGACUUAUUAGAUUAAAGAGUUGGGUUUGGGUAAGCCGUUAGUUUAACGAGUUGGGUUCGGAUAACCCGUUAAAUUAACUGGUCAGGUUGAACCCGACUCAAACCUAGUAAACUCGACCAGUUUAUAGGUCGAGCCCAGUGUGAAACUUAACCCAUUCUCAAUCCCCUUAGUAUAGAUAAUAUCGCUUGUUCAAAACAAAAACAAAAAAAAACCUGGCCAACUUUUUUUAAGAAAAAUGCUUGGAGAUGCUCUUAAGGACACAAACACAAGUACUGAAAGCCACAAGAAAAGUGACUAUUUGUUUCUUUUUCCUAAUAAUCAAUAAAGCUUUCUAGUAUAUUUUAUGGAAAAUACUAGGAGACAACCUUUUCGUACAACAUUUAUAUACAGUUGCAAUUGAUGUGUAAAUGUCCAGUCAAUUAAUAAAGCAUCCCAUUGAAUAUUUAUCAUAUGCAUCAUUUAUCACAUAAAAUAGUAUAUUAAUAUGGUAUGCAUAUGCAUAUGGUUUCCCUAUCAUUUACUCAUAUUUUAUUUUUUGUAUUAUCAAACCCUAGAACUAGAAGGAACCCCCACGCAUGCUGAGUCAUUCUCCCAUCUGCAUUCCAAAGCUCUCUUUACUGUGUGCAUCAAACUCCUACGAUUCUGGAAGCAAUCGUACAAUAACAAGAAUCUGGGAGAGUACUGAAUACUAAUGGAUGUAAAUAGAAGGACCCAAAAUUCAAGUACUCACAUACAAAAUGUGAAAAUCAAGCAAUCAUGCUAGUUCUAAACGAUUCAAACAGAAAAGUUCCAUCAAGCUUUUAAUUAAUAUUUAUUCGAGAUACAAUUUUAUUACAUAAUAAUAUGAUUUCAUCUUUCAAGCUGCAGAACAACCAAAUGAGAGAUAAUUGAUUCCAAACGAUGUAGUUAUUAACAUCGCAUAUUCCAUCCAGAGCAUUCGCCAUGAAUGCACGGUCCAUCUGGAUGUACAUCCCAGAAACAGUUUCUACACUUCUUCCGGUCUCUCGUGUCGACAUAGAUAUCAAAAUAAUGCAAUUGACCUGGCCAUUCAAAACUGCAAUAGAAUUGUGUUUUGAAAAUGUAAAGUGGUCGAAAACUAAAUUCAAAGGAGGCAUGAGGGGGAAGCACUUUAACACCAAUAUCAUCGUCUUUGGAUUUGCAGUGAACGGUAAGAAUUAAAUCACCACCUAACUCGUUUGAGAUUCUCACAUGUUUCUUAGAAAUACCACAUUGUUGAUGCACAAAAUUAGCGAGAACAAGUACAACAGAAAGUGUUAAGUUUGUGACCUUCGCUAGAUUGCUCCGGUGACUAGUGUGGAUAAGUAUGUAAAUGGAUAGAGACAGGGAAGCAAACACAAGAUUUACGUGGUUCACCCAGAUUGGCUACGUCCACGGAGUAGAGGAGUUCUCAUUAAUUGUGAAAGGUUUACACAAGUACAUAGGUUCAAGCUCUCCUUUUGUGAGUACUAGUGAAUGAUUUAGUACAAAUGACAUUAGGAAAUAUUGUGAGAGAAUGAUCUCUAUUUAUAGAAGAGAGUUUCUAGUUUCAUUCUGACAUUAACACGUGUCGUGUUAAGAUUGGCUUUUGAUAUUGACACGUGUCGCGCUAUGAUUGGCUUCUAAUGUUGACACGUGUCGCACUGUGAUUGGCCUCCUGGUUAGAGGGAAACUCUUCUGGGUCCUUGACGGUAUAACGUUGACCGGUGCUCAGUAGUUUCGGGAUUGGUCAAGUAUGGUACAAAUAGUGCUCCCCUAAGUUCCCGAGUGAGGGAAGCUCCACAGUUAGGGACUUGCAAGAUCCAAGUCAUUGAGUAAUCACGAAACUUCUAAGUACCAAAGUGUGGUAUCAUUUUCACUUGCCUUAUCUGUCUCAUAUGUAGAUGUGGCAUAUUCUCUGGAAGUACUUUUCCUCCAUCCAGGGGUGGUGGUAUCUUUAACUGAUGAAGAUGCACAAGGUAAUGUAUCAAUUUCACUUGAAGCUUACUUGUAGUUUCGGGCUUGGUCAAGUGCAAUACAAACCCUAUAGUAGAAGCCCCCCAAGUUGUCGAGCUAGGAGAUUUGCCUAAGGAGGUGAUAGACAAGGAAAGCAAUCAGACUUCCAAGCAAGCAACCUGGAUCAGAGGUUUGACUUCGGCUUUCGGUUGAUUGUUCUCCUUCUCCUUGUGUCGUAAACAACAACAAAGAUAAGGAGAAGCAAAUGGAGAAGAGAUGAUAUGAGAUACUUUUGCUUUUGAAAAAGCAACUUUCCACAUGCUUAUUCUUGAACUGGGCUGGAGGGUUUUCUGGUUUCCUCCAGAGUAUAAGGCUGACUCAAGAAUUUGAAGGUCAAAACAAGUCUAUCAAAUCUAAAGUACGUUCGACCCUGAUGAUAUGGGAUACUUUUGUUGUUGACAAAGUAGUGGAUGUAUCGACACGUGUUCUGUUAUGCUUGUCUCCACAUGCUUCCUUGUAUCCUUCUCACUUGCCCUAUCUAUUCCUCAGACAGAUGUGGUAUCUUCUCUGGAAGCAUAAGAUGUUGAAGAUGAGUACUCGAGAGCAAUGCCAGGUACUUAAUCAGGCAAGGGGUUCCAGGCAGUCAGUUCCUGACUGGAAGCUUAAUUCCAAGUGCUGACUGAUUGCUCUCUUUCUCCUUGUCUUGCAGGUAAGAACAAGGCCAAAGGAAAAGACAAGGAAAAAGCAUGAUAUGGGAUACUCUUGCUUUUAACCUUGAUGAUAUGGGAUACUUUUGCUCUGGUGUGGCUUGUUUGCAGAGGUAUUAUCGGAAGGAAAAAAGCUGAGUAUUUCGAGAGACUUUGCUGAGACUGCCCUCUCAGAUGUGAAGCAAAGUUGAGCAUUUUUUUUUUAUUUGCAAGUAUGCCUGGCUAUGGAGGAUGGAGGUUGACAUAUCUAGGAGUCUCCCUAACAACAAAUAGUUGUGCUAUUCCUUUACCCUUCUUGGUCAUAGCAAUGUAGUGGGAGCUGCAAGCUUCACGAGUUUUAACUUUAUCAGAGCACUUUGAAAAAGUGGUCUGUGGUAUCUGGAAAUCUGAUGUUGCGUGUGAAGAUUGCAGACAGGCUUUAUCCAAGGAAUUUGGCUCUCGAAGUUCGGAGAGCGGUGCCUUUUCGGUUUUCAAAUAAGCAAUCUUGUCGGGGAUCUGGCUCUCGAGAUUCAGAGAACGGUGCCUUUUUUAUUUUUGAGAAAGCAAUCCUGUUGGGAGUUUGAUUCUUGAGAUUCGGAGAGCAAUGUCUCUUCGAUUUUUUAGAAAGUAAUCCUGUUGGGAGUCUGGCUCUCGAGAUUCGGAGGGCGAUGCCUCUUCAAUUUUUUGGCAUGUAAUCCUGUUGGGAGUCUGGCUCUCGAGAUUCGGAGAGCGGUGCCUCUUCGAUUUUUGAGAAAGCAAUCAUGUUGGGAGUCUGACUCUUGAGAUUCGGAAAGUAGUGUCUCUUCGAUUUUUUAGAAAGUAAUCUUGUUGGGAGUCUGGCUCUCGAGAUUUGGAAGGCGGUGCCUCUUCGAUUUUUAAGCACGUAAUCUUGUUGGGAGUCUGGCCCUCAAGAUUCGGAUAGUGGUGCCUCUUCGAUUUUUUAGCAAGCAAUCUUGUUGGGAGUGUUUUCUGGAAUGUGAGUAAAGGUUGGGCAUUUUUGCUAGUCUGCAUUGCCAUGGAGCACGGAGGUUGACACACAUUGGGACUUUCUAGUUAUCAAGCAGUGGUGUUGUUCCUUUACCCUUGUGGGUAAUAGUAGAGUUGCUGGACCUUCAAAAUUUAUGUGUCUAACCUUUGUCAGAGAUCUUUAGCAAAGUUAUCUGUGGUACUCGAGAAGCUGAUGUUGCGUGUGGAAAAUGGUGCCUUUUCAGAAUCCGGAUAGUGGUGCCUCUUCGAUUUUUGAACGAACGGCCUUGUUGCCCUUUCUUUUAUAAGGGCACCAAUUAUGUGCAAGAAGUACAUUCAAAGAGUUAUUACUUGUAGGAAUUUCCCCCUUACUUCAGAGAUUUAUUGCACCUCAUUUCUCUUUCAUCAUUUCUGAGAAUGUCUGGCCCAUCCAACCGUCGUUUUGACUUGAACUUUAGUGAUGAGGCAGCCAUGCCUUCUCAAGACAACAUAAGGCGCUCAUCCUUCUUAUCCCCUACUGGUCCUCUUACCGUUGAGGACUCUGUGAUGAAGAAUGAUAUGAUCGUUGCGAUGGUGGCCAGGAACAUUCUCACUCCCAAAGAUAACAGACUACUUUCCAAAUGGUCUGAUGAGUUGGCUGUUAAGGAUUAUCUGGCUCUCAAUGUUCAGUGUGCAAGUUCUGUGUCUAAUAUGGCCCAACGCCUAUUUGCUCGAACCCACCAGGUUGAAUCAUUGGCGGCUGAAGUGAUAAGUCUCAAACAGGAGAUUAGAAGGCUCAAGCAUGAGAAUAAACAGUUGCACAGGCUCGCACAUGACUAUGCUACAAACAUGAGGAGGAAGCUCGACCAGCUGCAGGAAACUGAUAGUCAGAUUUUACUUGAUCAUCAGUGGUUUGUGGGUUUGUUCCAAAGGCAUUUAUUGCCUUCGUCUUCUUGGGGUUGUACCGCGUAAUGAAGCUCCAAAUGAUCAACCUUCGGUGCCUCCUUCUUCUGGGGUUCUGCCUAGUACUGACGCUCUGAAUAAUCACCCUCUGGUGCCUCCUCUUUCUAGGGCUCUGCCGACUGCUGAGACUUCUCCUAAGCAACAUUUGUGAAGGCUUUCUCUUGUUUGUUUAUUUUGAUUCAUGUAUAUGUACAUAUUUGUAACUUAUCGGAGAUAUCAAUAAACAAGUUUUGCUUCAUUUCAACGUAUUGUGUUAAAUACACCAAGGCCUUCUUCACUAAGUUCUUUGAAUUUUUCCUUUUGUUGAAGCUUGUAUGUUGAAGCUUUGUGAGUGAAGCAUGUAGGUUAAGGUAAUGCUCCCUUAAUUUCCCGAGUGAAGAAAACUUCUCGUUUGGAGACUUGAAAAAUCCAAGUCACUGAGUGGUCGUGAGACUUCCGAGUAUCAAGGUGCAGUAGCAUAUGGUAGGAGUCCCCCAAGUCUCUGGUCGAGGGAGUUGAUGAAUGAGACAUUUCCUCUCUAAGUGGUAACCCAAAACUCAUUCUUCAUAUAUAUUUGUUAUGAAAGUUGUUAGGCCCAUAGAAGAGGAGGCCUAGGCAAUUAUUUUUUCAAAUUUUUUUUUUCGAUUUUUUUUUUCGAAUUUUCAAAUUUCUGAAAAUAUAUAUAUGUGUUUGUAUGUAUGUAUAUAUUUUAAAGCUUUGUAGGUGAAGCUUUGUAGGUUGAAGCUUUGUUGGGUACCAUGAAUUGAUUUUGCUUCACACUAUAUUGAUCAAGAUAAUGUGAAGCUUUUGUAGGUGAAGCUUUUGUGUUGAAGCUUUGUAGGUGAAGCUUUUGUGGUGGGUGAAGCUUUUAUGGGUGAAGCUUUUGUGGUGGGGGAAGCUUUUGUGGGUGAAGCUUUUGUGAUGGGGGAAGCUUUUAUGGUGGGGGAAGCUUUUGUGGGUAAAGCUUUUGUGGUGGGGGAAGCUUUUGUGGGUGAAGCUUUUGUUGGUGAAGCUUUUAUGGGUGAAGCUUUUGUUGGUGAAGCUUUUGUAGUGGGUGAAGCUUUUGUGGUGGGUGAAGCUUUUGUAGGUGAAGCUUUUGUAGGUGAAGCUUUUGUUGGUGAAGCUUUUAUGGAUGAAGCUUUUGUAGGUGAAGCUAUUGUGGGUGAAGCUAUUGUGGGUGAAGCUUUUGUAGGUGAAGCUUUGGAGUUGAAGCUUUGUAGGUGAAGCUUUGUAGGUGAAGCUUUGGAGUUGAAGCUUUUGUUGCGUACCAUGAAUUGAUUUUGCUUCACACUAUCUUGAUCAAGAUAGUGUGAAGCUUUUGAGAAUUUGUAGUUGUCCUCCAUUGAUGAAGCUUUUGUUGGUGAAGUUUUGGAGUUGAAGCUUUUGUUGGGUACCAUGAAUUGAUUUUGCUUUACACUAUCUUGAUCAAUAUAGUGUGAAGCUUUUAAGAAUUUGUAGUUGUCUUCCAUUGUUGAAGCUUUUGUUGGUGAAGCUUUUGUGGUGAAGCUUUGUUGGGUACCACGAAUUGAUUUUGUUUCACACUCUUGAUCAAGAUAGUGUGAAGCUUUUGAGAAUUUGUAGUUGUCCUCCAUUGAUGAAGCUUUGUUGAAUUUCCCUUUUUUUUUUCUUUUUCUUUUUUUGGGAAACUAGAAGUUUGAAAAUGUGGGAGAGACAACAUAUACAAAUUUUGCUUCCACACUAUUGAGCAAGAGAUUGUGAUGCAAGUCACACCUUGUAGUAGUCAAAGGUUUGGAUGAACCAUAUAAAUUGAAUUUGCUUUGAACAUUCUUGAAUUUGCUACGAAGGUUUGAGAAUUGUAGUUGCCCUCCAUUGAUGAAGCUUUUGUUGGCACCAUAAAUUGGUUUUGUUUCACACUGUCUUGAUCAAGAGUGUGUGAAGCUUUUGAGAAUUGUGGUUGAACUCCUUUGAUGAAGCUUUUGCUGGCACCAUAAAUUGGUUUUGCUUCACACUGUCUUGAUCAAGAGUGUGUGAAGCUUUUGAGAAUUGUGGUUGAACUCCUUUAAUGAAGCUUUUGUUGGCACCAUAAAUUGGUUUUGCUUCACACUGUCUUGAUCAAGAGUGUGAAGCUUUCUAUGAGUUGUAGUGUUUGCAUUAUUACAGAGGGGAAAUGUCUGAAGCAGAUGAAAGAAGGCUGAAUAGCUUGAUCUUCGUAUGCCAUGCACUAAAGUUGUUGUUGGCUUGUAAUAAGACUUUGUUGGUGACUAUAACUCUUGUUGGGCAUAAGUGCUCCCGUAGUUGAGUUGUCAAGCUUGAGGGUUUUUGAUUAUUUAUGAAUGCUAGGAGUUCACAUAUACAAGUUGUACCACUCGUCUUCUGGUAGAUGGAAUGAAUGGUGAGUUGCUUUCAUCACUUGGUUGGUGGUACGAAGAUGAGUUCUUUCUUCACCUAGUUGGUGGCAUGAGUGACAAGUUGCCAAAUGAUAUUAGAGUACGGGUUGUACAUUUCAUCACCUGGUUGGUGGCAUGAAGGAGAGUACGGGUUGUACAUUUUAUCACCUGGUUGGUGGCACGAAGAUGAGUACCUUCUUCACCUGGUUGGUAGCAUGAGUGGCAAGUUGCCAAAUGAUAUUAGAGUACGUGUUGUACAUUUCAUCACCUGGUUGGUGGCAUGAAGGAGAGUACGGGUUGUACAUUUCAUCACCUGGUUAGUGGCAUGAAGAUGAGCUCCUUCUUCACCUGGUUGGUGGCAUGAGUGGCAAGUUGCCAAAUGAUAUUAGAGUACGGGUUGUACAUUUCAUCACCUGGUUGGUGGCACGAAGAUGAGUUCCUUCUUCACCUAAUUGGUGAGAAUAAAGGUAAAGUGUCGAGGCACAUUGUAGCAAGUGUCGAAGACAUAAAGUAUGUUAAACCAUUUCGAAGCACAGUUGGCUUAUGUAUGGAUGUGUUGGAAUGUAUGAUGUUUAUGUAUGAAUGUGUUGGAAUGUAUGAUGUUUAUAUUGAUUGAUAUGAGUGAUGCUUAUGAAUGUUUUGUUAUGCAUGAAGGGAUCCAUGCUUUUGAUAUGUUAACCAUGUUGGUUGUAACACUUAGUAUCACAUACUUUGUGUCAAAGUAUGCAUGUUGAAGCUCUGAGUUGGAGUAUAAGGGUAGGUCAGCGUAGACCAAGUGUUCUAGUGCUAGGAACGCAAAAGACUUAGAAGAAGUUGUCUGAAUUCCCUUUUCUUUAAAUAUUUGCCGAAUGGCUUAUGUGACAAAAGAUCUCAAGCAGUUGAGAGUCAAAACAUUUGUAAUGUGUAUGCCUUCUUAUAAUAGCAUUUCCUUCAGUACUUAGUCCUCCACUUUGAAAAAGUAAGGCUUGGCCCCAUAGUCGUAAUAGUUGACGGUACGUUCACCCCUAAUUGUCUUGAUACGAACUUUUAUUCCUCUUAUUGUAAUGGGUUUGCUGAGAGUAAAAAUCCUUCAUCUUACCAAGAGACAGAUACGUUUGGUGACUUAGCGAGUAGCUAAAUGAGGCAGGAGAUGAUGCAAUGAGUGUCUGAAUGGCCAAGAUCUCCUCACUUGGUAGAACUUGACUUCCACUUCCCACUUGUUGAUAGGAGUUAACCAUAUAGGGGUUCCCUUGGUAUGUCCUUGCUUCGGCGGAGGCGUGGAUGUAAGCCUAUGUCAUCACCUCAAAGUAAGUCUUCCAAGUGUUGCAUUGAUCAUGUACUUGAAGAAACAAUCAUGUGCCUGCCCUGAAGACCUUGAGAGCGGUCUUGUCAUAUGCCUCAGCGUAGCGAGAAUACUCAUUGCUGAAGCGACCGGCAUACUCUCGUAGUGACUCAUCCGGCUUCUAGUGAAUAGUGUACAAGUCAUCUGUAGAAUGCAAGCAAUCAGUCUGGAAGAUGUGUUGAGAAACAAACAGUUUCCUCAAUUCCUCAAAUGAGUCUACUGUUUCAGGUGGAAGAUGGCAAUACCAGUUUAAAGCUUUGCGAGAGAGGGUGGAGAGGAAGAGAAGACAUCGCUCUUCGUCGGUGUGUAUCUGAUAUGCCAGGGUGGACUCAAAGAGGUUAAGGUGUUCAAUUGGGUCAUCCCUUCCAGUAUAUAGUUGUAAACCAAGAUUUUGUUUUGUCUUCGCUUGAAGGGGGUGUCGAGGAUCCUCCUUGUGAGAGGGCCAGGCCUGGGUUGGUUCCGGUCAGGUAUCUCGGCGUGACGUUGGGCCUUCAACUUGUUUACUUCUUCAAUGAGCUAUAGGACAAGGGGGUCCUGAGUGGAGCCAUGUACCAUUGGAAUUUUCUUUCGUAAAUCUCCAUCGCAUCUUAGAAGUAGGAAAGUUUGAGUAAGGGCGUGUGGUUUUUCUUGGACUCGUCGUACUGACUUCUAGGGCGAGUCUAUCAGAAUACCUUAGAGUCCCAUGUACCUUCAUGUUCCUUUGGGACCUGUUGUUCUUUCCCUAGAUUGGCAGCAGGCCUGGGUCCUGGGAGGGGACCGAGUCUUUCAGAAACCCUUGGGUCAUUGAUCCUCGAGCAUAUGUGGAGGGGAUUCUCUCGACGUUGCUUUAAGAAGUCUCGGCAGUCACGAUAAACGACUUUCGAUCCUUCCAACCCUUCUACAAUGAGGUGUCUUCCUCCACUUCUCAUGUUUUGGGUCGAAGCAUCUGGGUUGAGAGAAGUCUCAUGUUGAUCAAUGUUUUGAUGAUUAGCUCGCUCCUCAACAGGGAUACCCAUGUCAAAGGGAGGUGACCCUCCGUGUUGGGGGGUACCUAGAUGAUAGUUGAUGUCCACAAAGGCAACCAACUCGCGUGUUUAAGUACGCCUAGUUUCGUGGAACGUCUCAAAGAGCUUCUCAUACUACUCCUGGAGGACCUCAUUCUUCAUUGCUAUCUUGUUGUUCUGAGCUUCUAGCUCAUCGACUUUAGCUUGAAGAGCAACCCUUUUUCCUUCCUUCUUUCGUUGCUUCGCACUAGGUGCAAGAUGGGUGUCAUUCUGUGUGUUGUGGCUUCCUUCGCUCCCCAUGUUGGAGAGGGAUGCCUGGUCAAAAGAGAGUGUACGAAUGGUGGAAACCAGCUUGGCAAAGUUGAAGAGAGUGGGAAUAAGUGUUGUUCCCACAGACGGCGCCAAAUGUUGAUGCACAAAAUCAGCGAGGACUUUGGUACAACAGAAAGUAUUAAGUUUGUGACCUUCACUAGAUUGCUCCGAUCACUAGUGUGGAUAAGUAUGUAAAUGGAUAGAGACAGGGAAGCAAACACAAGAUGUACAUGGUUCACCCAGAUUGGCUACAUCCACGAAGUAGAUGAGUUCUCAUUAAUUGUGAAGGAUUUACACAAGUACAUAGAUUCAAGCUCUCAUUUUGUGAGUACUAGUGAAUGAUUUAGUACAAAUGACAUUAGGAAAUAUUGUGAGAGAAUGAUCUCUAUUUAUAGAAGAGAGUUUCUAGUUUCAUUCUGACAUUAACACGUGUCGUGUUGUGAUUGGCUUUUGAUAUUGACAUGUGUCGCGCUAUGAUUGGCUUUUGAUGUCGACACGUAUCGCACUGUGAUUGGCCUCCUGGUUGGAGGGAAACUUUUCUGGGUUCUUGAUGGUAUAACGUUAACCGGUGCUCAGUAGUUUCGGGAUUGGUCAAGUAUGGUACAAACACACAUGUAUACAUGGUUGUUGCCAACAACAAAAGCAGCAUUAGCAGCAUUCCGUUUCCAAUGAACGAAACCAUACUUAUUUUUGAAAUUUUAUGGUCUUUGGUUUGAAGACGUAUAAUUAGAAUCUGAGUAUUGCUUCUUUUUGUUUUUAUAGUUGCUAGGUUUUUCAUAGAGUCUCUGACUAGAUAGUGCUCAGAUUGCGCUUCUUGGGUAACUUGUUUAGGUUCACAAAACCUAGACUACCUAGUAAAAACUGUUAGGACUAAAUUGGAAAAGCAAUGAAGAAAAGGAAAAUCAGUGAAAUUUUUAUCGCUCAGCAUUCCAUGUUUAAUAACAAAUGGACAUUGAAUUUGGUCAGCUUUAACCAAAAUUUAAUGCUGUCAUCUUCUCUAUCAGUUUGACCAAAAUACGCUUUAUUAUUCUUAUGACCAUAUUAUUUCCUUUUUAACCUAUCGUGUUCAGGUUGAAACCUUUCUUUGACGUAGUUUAGAUAAACUUAGUGUAAUAUCUUAUCAAUUGUCGAAAAAUAAAACAUAAUUUUGUCGAAGGAGAACUCGAAGUUAGAACAUUGGGUACAAGGAGGAAUGUUUUUCACUUAAUGAGCUACAAGUGCCUUUGCAGUUUAUUUGUUAUUACCAACUAGCUAUUAGUCUAAAGGUAUUUUCUCUUUGUUAUUCGUGUUAGAGACAUGGCCCGUAUCCCUGCCAAUGUUGCAGAUUCUUCUAGAAUUAGUUAAACUUUAUUGGGGUGCAUGUAUUGUAUCUUUGUACAUUUAACUGAGUACAUCCUUGUACAUUGAACUGUAUUAAUUUACCCACCUGAAUUGGAUCUCUUGUAUUCCUAUAUAAUAUAACGUUUGUUAUCAAUCAAACUGUCCAGUCAAUUACUUCAAGUCCUAUUCUCUCCAAUGUCUUCUAGGUUUGUUUCAUUACAAUUCGAAUCUCCCCUCUACGAUUAAUCACCAGAACAAAUAAAUAUAUAGUUCAAUAUGUUGGGAUAUAUUUAGGGAUGGCAACGGAUCGGUUUGGGGAUGGAAAUGCUAUAUUCAUCCUCAUAACCAUGAAAAUUAACCAUAUUCAUAACCACAAAUUAACCAUCGGGUAUUAUCCAUAAUCAUACCCACCGGAUAAUGGAUUUCCAUCGGUUAAUGGUUAUAUCCAUCUUCAUUAAUACAAAAAAUAUAUUCGUCUAAUUGACGCAUGAUAAUUUAGUAAAUAUUAAUUUCGUCAUUAAAUAUUUGAUGUAUAAAGUGAUUUAAUUAAUGGAUCUUGUGGAACAUAAAAAUUAAAGCUAAACAUUGAUAAUGUUGGUUGAUUUUUGAUAUCUUGCAUAAAUACUAUUAAAUUCUUAUAGAUUUUUAUUCAUAUCAAAACUUUUGUACUUUGCCACAAAAUGCAACUCACACAAUGCAAUUUUUUGUAUUCUCAAGGUAAUGGAUUCGGUGAAUAAUGAAUAUACAUAUAAUUAUAUUAUAUAUUAUUGGGUUUCGAUUCAGGUACGGAUAUGGAUUGGGGACCCCUAUAAUCAUAUCCAAAAUCAUAACCGAAUAAUAUUCACGGUUUUUCCCCAUACCCAAAAUAUACCAAAAUUUUCAUACCCAAAUCCAAUCUAUUCGAGCGGUUAUUCACUGUUAUCAGGUUUAAUGGUUAGAAUUGUCAUCCCUAGAUAUAUUGGGACAAAUUUACUGCUGAGAUUAUGACAAUUUGGAGUGCUGCUGAGAUUAUAAGUAAGGCUGUUAGAAAUUAGUGUGUUUAGAGACAAGUUCUUAAAGAGUUUGGAGUGUUAUUCUAUAGUCUAUACCAGCAACUCUGUUCUCCCUUCUUGGUAUCAGAAAACAAUUUCAAUAAAAUCAUUCGGUUUUUCUCUUCAUUUAUCUAUCUCAACACAAUAACUAUUUGUGUACAUAUGGCUCGUCUACAAUUUCACAAACAUAAUUCUGUAUCAACUUUCAGGAAUAUGUAGCAAAGUAUCACAUCACGUAGAUACCAGCAAGUUUUCCGUGAUCUGCUUAAAGAAGAGCACCAAUUUAUCACGACCAGGAAGAUUUUCUUCGAUUAAGGGACUUAUGUGAAGUCCUUAGCCCAUUCGUACAAGCGCGUCUUCAAUGACUCCAAACCAAUGAGCAAUUCCACCAAAGGCACUGUCCACUAUUCCAAUGUUAUAUCCUCCGAAAAACUUCUUUUCUCUAAGAGUACGAGCUGCCUGCACUUCUAUCGUUCUUAGCAUCUCCAAGUUAUCUUUCUUGGCCUUCUCUUGCUCUUCGCUGGUGGUUCGGAAGACCAUCCAAAUCGCAGGGCCCUGUUAGAUUAGAAACAAUUUUAUCGGUAUAAGUACGUAAGGGUUUUUCUUGGUGACCGGUCCCAUGCACGAAAUUGUCUCAUCAUAUGAUAAUUCAGAAUAUAUAUUAUGAAGUAAUUCACUUAAGACAUAAAAAGCAGACACAAUUGUUGCUUAUACUUUCUAACAUGUACUAUUAAUCAUGUAGAAGCUAGAAUCAUGUCCGAACGCGUGGCUAGAACAUCACCUUAUAGCUUAGGUAAUUAAACAUGUACGUCCACACGAAAAGUGAAACAUUUUUUGCUCAGAAUUUUUUCUAGAGAAGAAGUACGUAGUACUUCCCUUUUCCACUAAGCCCAACUUCCUCCCCUUUUCGGUGGGAGUUGUUCUCUCGUGUUGGGAGUGCUUCUCACUUUCUUGUGUGAGUGACCGGUAUUUUCCUUGCUUUGUUCAGCCGGCGGCCCUAGCGGGGGCAAGGUCGGUGGCAACCCGUCCUUUUUCUUUGUUCCCUCUUUUCCUUUUCCUUUUUUUUUCCUCCUCUGCCCGUCUAUUCCGGCAUGUUUUUCUUCUUCCUCUUGCCUAUGAUCUAACUGACCAUAGUCCUCCAUCAGAAAUUUCUCAAUUCCGACUAUCUUUUUCCCCUUCCCUUGCUGUUUUUCCACAUCAAUGACACUUUUCAACCCAUUUUCUACUUAUCCCCAGUGGUUUCGGCCUCUCUUGAUCCCACAAUUCCUCCGAUCUACAACUGUUUCUUUUUAUCGUGUUUCGCGGCUUUCUAGGAAGGUGUUUAGCGCUCUAGCUCGGGUGGUCACACCACCACCUUCCAUUUGUAUGCUGUUGUUGGCACUUUACUUAUGGGAUUUUUUUUCCCAUGAGUUUCAUUUAUGGUGGAUGCGGAUUAGAGUUUUGUGGCUUGAUGGAGGAGGGUGGAAUCUUCUCCUUUCUGAUUUGGAGGCUUUGUUUGGUUGAUCCCAGUGACGACAAGAGGUGGUGGUUCGUGGUCGGCGGUGUUGAAGGCUUCUGUAUACCUAGGGUUUUUUUCAAAUUUCUAUUUGUUUGUUUUGGCUCAAACUUUGGGUUGGACCUUUUUGCUUUUGGAUCCAUAUUUUAGUUUUGGGCUUUAUAUGUAUUUGGAUCCCAAUUUGUAAGUGUGUGUUUUGUUGGUCAUGAAAUUUACCUUUGUACCAAAAAUUCAAUACGCCGAUUGUGUAAAAUUUACUAAAAGGGAGAGAGGAGGUACGGCAAUAGAGUGUAGAGAAUAAGGCGCAGGGAAAUUAUAGGAUGUAUUUUUUUUUUUAUGCCAGUGCCUUUCUUUAUAGUAAACCAUGUGGAAAGGGAAACUCAUUUCUCUAAGUAAUACAAAGUCUAACAGGAAAGAUAUCAUUAGAAUAAAGAAUAAUCAUAAACCCAAUCUACCUAGGAUUUACACAAUCACAUAAUGUUAAAUAUUUAUCACAAACUCCCCUUGAGUGUGUAAAUACUCAAGUACAUAUCAAAUCAGAUCUUGCAAAGAUAGUUAAUGAAGUCGUCUCGUUCGCAUUGAUAGAGUAACAUGCUAGUCUCAAACAAGGAAGUUGCAUAUGUAAAUAAGUCUCACAAAACUUGGCUAUGGUAAAACUCAAGGUGGGACAAAAACCCACAAUCUAAGAAAAAAAUAUGAAUUAAUGCAAAGUCCAUAUUAGGCGUCUUGACACACCUCAACCCAAAUUGAGGCAUGUUGGCCAUCACGUGAGGGUGACGUAGCCAUGUGUGCGGUGCGGAAGUGAUAGUGAUAUGAAAAUGUGAGUCAAUAAACACCAAACUAACUAAAUUACACUAUACUAAUAUAUAAGUGCGAGUGAAAAUAUUUAAGUAUAGUUACACUUAUUUAGAACGUGGGUAACCUAAGUGCAAUCCAGCAUGUCAAAUACUAAUUAUACAAUACCAGAGAGAUGAUCCUACAUUAUUUAUAAUCUGUCAGAACCGCCGCCGACUCCUCGUAAGCCACCAAGAAGCACGCCUACCUACAACCUAGAAGGGUGCAAAACAGAAAGUGUGAGUGGGCAAAAACAAAGUUUUCAAAACCAUUUCUCUUUCAAAAAGUAAUAACCCCUCGCCGUAAAACCUGUAUAAUUUCCCAGAACCUAGCAUACAUACAUAUCCAGAAACCAUACUCGAAAAUAGUGAAAUCCCGACAAAUGCCGUGUCAAAUAUCUCAGUAUAAUAAAUAAUCAAGGCAGGUGAAGUAAAUAAAUGAAAGGUAAUAUGCCAGCCAGAUCCACCUAGUGUGGCCUGUACAGCUGAACCUAUAGCUCAUCAAGUAUGCCUACACACGAGUCGGAACCACCUAGUGUAGUCUGUACGACAGGGUUAGGUGUAAUAAGUACACUCAAGUGCUACGAUCACAUGAAGGCUGUACGAUAAAUCGUAAGUCACUUACAAGUCGGAACCACCUAUUGUGGUCUGUACGACAAGGCUGUGCACCAAACUUGGAUCCAAGGUGAUGGUGCGGUGCAAGAAGUGAACAUCACGUGAAGGACUGUACCAUGGCCACGGGCGGGUGCACUAACACCGGGGUGCAAGUUUAUGAGCUCUAAAUGCAUCUUAGUAUAAUCAUACACACUACAAUCACUACCAUCAAUAUUUACUCACCUGAAGCUUACAUGAGCAUCCGCAGCAUCAAGCAACAAUAUGCAUAACUAUACUAAUGCAUAUUCUAAAAUGUAAUGCAAAUGACAUGGCAUUUAAAACAUAAAACCAUUUAAAACAAUUUCUGGGAAAACGUAAAGCAUAUAUACGUAUAUAUAUAAAACCAAAAGCCCAUUCACUGGUAUGUGGCAGGGUCGUAACCCCCAUCUCACCUAUAUGUGAAACAACUAAUUUAACGUUAAUUUAAGCACAUAACCAAAAAUAUGUAAUAACUUCUCAUAAGUUGCUCAACUGGAGUGUUUGAAUAUACCAUUGUGGCCUACUUAACACCACGAACAUUCCCAUAUUUUUAGAAAAAAUUUCUAAUAUCUUAUGCGCCGUCAUGCACCGGCCAAGGCACGACCACACACAUCGGCUACGCACAGGCACAUGGACGGAAUCUUUAACGUCGUUAAAAAAUAUUCUGCUAAAUAAUAGAAAUUCCGUUAAAUAUACCUGAUGCGGUUAGGUAUAUUCCAUCAAAAUUAACGAAAUAUUCGCCUUCUUCUCCGGUGGUUCGUCGGAUUCUGUCUCCAGCUGCCGUCUGUGUCACCGGAAACUGGAAAAUCUUUAAACCUUAAUAUCUUCUUCAUUUUUCAACCAAAUUUCAUGAAAUUUAUACCAAAAUGAAGCUCUAAACGAGUAGAACAUGUUCUUACCACUUUGAAGUCUUAAAACUCACAUAAAAUAGUCAAAGAAUUCCUCGAUAAUCCAGUCAAAACUGCAACUCAAGGAACUAACCUAUCCCGACAUCCAAAACCUUCCAAAACUUCUUUAUGAUCUUUGUGAAGUUGUUUUAAGACUCCCUUGAGCUUUGAAACUCCGUUAAAUUCCCAUGAUCACUACGGAGUAGCAGAGCACCUCGCCGGUGCUCAUUGGUUCCCGAGUUCCCGAGGUCUUGUCUCUAAACUAAUGGUAUGACUGUGUUCCUGGACUUGCAAGGAAUUCAAAAAUAGCCUCCACUAACUCGAUCUGUGUAGGAUGAAGCUGGUCAAGUGUAUGGAUGUACUGAUUGUACAGACGAGGGAAGGAUCGAGAGAGAUGGUGAAGGUAUAUACGUCUGUGUAUGUGUGUGCGUGUGGUCCAGAUUGGGUGUAUAUAAAAAAUCUUAAGCCCCAAUUAGGCUACCAAGUCGAGGGCUAAAAUUAAUCCAAAAAAACCCCAUUUCCAAAUGGAUCCAAGGAAAUAGGAAGUGAAGUAAUUGGUCUAUUUUCUUAGCCCGCUUAUACAUUCACAACACAUCGUUCCAAAGACAAAUCAUCAUUUCCACGUUUCCGAGGACAAGAUAUAUUUUAAUUCGAGACGGGUCGUCGCAACCUACCCCCUUAAGGAAAUUUCGUCCCCGAAAUUUCAUACAAUAAUAUAACAAACCAUUAAUAUCCGUAAAACAGGCAUGGAUACAUAUCUCUUAUACGAUUCUCCGUCUCCCAGGUUGCUUCCUCUACUGAAUGGUUCCUCCAUAAAACUUUCACUACGCGCACAGUUUUAUUCCUCAUAACCUUAUCCUUCCAAUCCAAAAUCGUCACUGGCUCUUCGUCAUAAGUCAAAUCGGGAUUAAUUUCCAGUGGUUGAGGAGGUAUCACGUGUGAUGGAUCGGAGACAUAAUGGCGAAGCAUAGAAACAUGAAAAACAUCAUGCGCCUAAGAUAACUCAAGAGGCAACUUAAGCCUGUAGGCAACUUCACUAACUCGUUCGGUAAUCUGGUACAGUCCAAUGUAUCUAUGACUUAACUUACCCUUCUUCCUGAACUGUACCACCCCUUUCCACGGUGAUAGCUUCAAAAAUACCCAAUCACCAACAUUAUACACCCUAUCAGUGGCGUGUUUAUCAAUUAGAUUCUUUUGUCGAUCCUAGGCCGCUUUCAGGUUAGAUUUAAUUACCUGAAUAUUCUGUGUAGUCUCGUCCACAAUCUCAGGGCCCACCAAUACUCUUUCACCAACCUCUGACCAGUAUAAAGGAGUACGACAAGACAUACCAUAACGUGCCUUAAAAGGUGACAUACCAAUGCUAGAAUGGUAGCUAUUAUUGUAGGCAAACUCCAUCAAAUCCAAACGCCGAUGCCAAGCGUCACCAAAUUGCAAUACAGAAGAUCUUAGCAUAUCCUCCAGCGUCUGAAUAGUCCUCUCAGAUUGCCCAUUUAUUUGUGGAUGAUAUGUUGUACUAUAAAGUAAUCUCGAACCAAAAGCCUCCUGAAAUGCCACCCAGAACUUAGAAGUGAACGUAGGAUCCCGAUCAUAAAUGAUAUUAACCGGAACCCCAUGGUAUCUAACAAUUCUUGAUAUAAAUAAAGUGUGCUGCUUUAGUAAUCGAUCCACUAUCACCCAAAUGCCAUAAUAACCAUUUCGUGUACGAGGAAGCUUGUACGAAAUCCAUGGUAAUAUUUUCCCAUUUUUACUAUGGAACGAGAAGUGGCUGCAUUAGUCCAAAAGGCUUCUUCCUCUCAGCUUUGACUUGUUGACAAAUUGCACAUCUACUCACAUAUUCAACAAUUUCUCUUUUCAUGCUAGGCCAGUAAUAAAAAGGUUGAAUGGUGGGAUACAUCUUAGUACUCCCAGGAUGCAUCGCAUAUGCCGAUAUAUGCGCUUCAUCAAGAAUAUCUUUCUUUAAUUCUACAUUAUUUGGCACGUACUUUUGACUUCCCUGCAUAAGCAUGCCAUCAAAUCCCCGAUUUCUGAGAUCUUUCUUCUUCCCUCGUGACACUACCUCUGCUAAUACUUGGGAUUCCUCAUCCUCUGCUUGAGCUUCUAGCACACAAUUAAUUAAAAUUGGUCUGACUUAGAAACUAGCAAGUAAAGCUUAUUCCCGAUCUUCUACUCUUAACUUUACUCUAGUGGAUCUCAAAUCUGUGAGAAGGGAAAAACGACAAGCAUAUAAGGCAUUAAGUUUGCAUUGAGAUUUCCUACUAAGCGCGUCUGCCACCACACUUGCACGACUAAGGUGAUACUUAAUUUUGUAAUCAUAAUCGAUGAGCAAUUCUAUCCACCUCCACUGGCGAAGAUUAAGAUCUCUCUGAGUGAAAAGAUACUGAAGACUUUUAUGAUCCGUGAAAAUCUUACAUUUUUCUCCAUAAUGAUAAUGUCUCCAAAUCUUCAAGGCAAAUACAAUGGCUGCUAACUCAAGAUCAUGAGUAGGAUAAUUCAUCUCAUGAGGUUUCAACUGUCGCGAAGCAUAAGCAAUCACCCUAUCAUGCUGCAUCAAUACACAACCCAGACCAUGCAAAGAAGCAUAACUAUAAAUCUCAAAAUUACCAUUGUCGUCUAGAAACACCAAAACAGGUGCAUGGGUGAGACAAUACUUUAGUUGCUGGAAACUUUGCUCACAAUUAUCAUCCCACUCAAAUUUAACAUCCUUUCUAGUCAACCUCGUCAGUGGUAAUGCUAUGGUUGAGAAAUCUUUAACAAACUAUCUAUAAUAACCUGCUAGGCCAAGGAAACUUCGUACCUUUGUGACGGUUCGUAGUUGCUCCCAAUUCUCAACGGUCGCUACCUUCUGUGGAUCCACUUGAAUACCUUGAGCGGACAUGACAUGCCCCAAAAAUGCUACUUGAUCUAACCAAAACUGGCAUUUGCUAAACUUAGCAUAUAAUUAGUGUUUCCUCAAUUUCUUCAACACCAAAGUGAGAUGUCGUACAUGUUCGGACUUAGACUUAGAAUACACCAAAAUAUCAUCAAUAAAUACAAUGAUAAACCUAUCAAGAUAUGGCUCGAAUACUCGAUUCAUCCAAGUUCGUAAAAGUUGUAGGUGCAUUAGUUAACUCGAAUGGCAUCACAAGAAACUCAUAAUGACCAUAUCGAGUCCGAAAAGCCGUCUUAGAAACAUCUUCACUUCUGAUCUUUAAUUGAUAAUAACUAGACCUCAAACAAUCUUAGAAAACACGCAGGCACCUCGAAGCUGGUCAAAUAAAUUAUCUAUACGGGGCAACGGAUAAUGGUUUUUAAUCGUUACCCGAUUCAGCUGCCGAUAGUCAAUACACAGCCUUAAAAUCCCGUCUUUCUUCCGUACAAAUCAAACUGGAGCUCCGCAAGGUGAAGUAGUAGGCUGAAUGAAACCCUUAUCAACCAAUUCCUGUAACUAAAUUUUUAAUUCCCUCAGUUUAGCAGGAGCCAUUCGAUAAGGAGUUAAAGAAAUAGGAUAUGUACCUGGAAGUAAAUUAAUAGUGAACUCCACUUCUCAGUCUAGUGGUAGUCCAGGUAAAUCAUUAGGAAAUACGUCAGGAAAAUGCCUGACUACCCGUACAUCCUCCACACUUAUAGAAGUAUCUACAUUUAAUACCCCUGAAAACCUUUCCUCAAUAACCUUUUAACCCUCAUGGUGGAGAUAACGUCGUGUCUCACUCCACCACGCUCACCCAUAAAUGUGACCAUAGGUAAGCCUGCACUUCUAGAAGCAACCUCCAUGUUCUGGGACUGUCCCUUAGGAUACCACUGUGAUCCACCAGCUGAAUAUGGCGGAUAUGGCGUAUAACCUCCUGGAUACUGAGCAUAACCACUAUGAUGAUACGGAUCGUGUGGUUACUAAUACUGUCCUCCAGAAUAUGGAGCUAUAUCAUCCUGAUAAUGAUAAGCACCCCAAUGACCUGUCUGGUUAUAACCACUAAGCCCUGGAACCUGAUGAAUCAGAACUAGUGGUGGUAAGGAAGGUGGCUGGGGCUUCUGCUGGUUCUGCGGGCACUGAAUAGCCCGAUGUCCCAUCUGGCCACAAGUGAAACAUUCGCUGCUACCUUGCCUACACUCCCCAAAAUGCCGAUUGUUGCACCUACGACACAAAAGAGCACUUGCGCGCUACUAGAAUCCUUUUGCCUUGGAACCGAGAAUAGGGAUGGGCAAAAUACCCAUGGAUAUGGGUAACCGCUGUUACCCACCCAUUUAAAGUUAACGGUUAUGGUUAUGGGUAACCAUUUAGACAAAUAAACGGUUAUGGGUAUAACCGUUUAUCCAUGAAAUUUAAAUGGACGGUUAUGGGUAUUAUCCGCGGUUAUAACGGGUAUCCAUCGGUUAUGGGUAAUAUUCAUGGUUAUAAUGGGUAUCCAUUUACCCAUUUAAUUUAAUAUAUGUAAAAUUUAAAAAAAAAUUAAAAACCCUCAGAGAAUAAGUUACAACUUCGUCACUCUCUCUCUCCGUCCCUCUCUCUCUCCGCCUCUCGACUUCGUCGCUCUCUCUAUCCAUUUACCCAUUUUUUGUUCUUUGGUUAUCUGAAUGUAAAAAUACAACUAGGAGAGAAUAUAUAACAUAGUUUUUGCCAUCCUAUUUAGAAAUCAGACUAAACGUGGAUACUGGACCUGCUUUCCUCCACUUUUGAGGAGAACUAUCAUUGUACAGUUUGGUCUGUAGCUGAGAAGUUCUCAUUCGAAGGACUCGGUAUUGCAAGAGUUAUACUGGACCUGCUUCCUGAACUUCCAUAAUUUAUUGGUUGUUAUACAGAAUAAAAAAAAACUGAUUGGUUGCUAUACAGAAAAAUAUCGUUCGUAAACUAUUAUUUCAAUUAUUGGAAUUAUAUGAGGACUUAAAUGAUUAAAA